This 53536-nucleotide long non-coding RNA is filed under the name Malus domestica (apple). Its description in RNAcentral is "long non-coding RNA (MDOM_LNC013413)". The stretch from base 45130 to 45237 matches the Rfam family "Plant small nucleolar RNA R71". Lineage: Eukaryota; Viridiplantae; Streptophyta; Magnoliopsida; Rosales; Rosaceae. The record is from RNAcentral.
UUCCAACAAAUCUAAGGGAGUGAAGCUGGAAAGAAUCCCUUUUAUGGAGGCCUUGCAUUCUUUUGAUGAUGUUGCUACUGGGCCCUUCAUCCGGGCACAUCUCUACCAUCUUUUUUAUGAGAUGACCAAAGGCCAGCACUUUGAAACCAACCUCAAUGGAGCCACAUCGAUGAUCCAACUUUAUCUGCAAUGGUACUUUCUAGAGUUUAGGGCUCCUAACUUGGAAUUUCCAAAAGUAGUAACUCAUGUCCGAAUUCUCACAGAGACCCUUGGCAGUAAUCAUUAUACCUUGGCAUGCCUAUAUUUCUUUAAGAUUUGUACGACCAUGAUCGUUUUGGAGUGAGGUGCCUCUGUUUUUAGAAGGUACCCUUUGUUUUCAAACAACCUCUUCUAAGACUCAUUUGGGGAAGAUGCCAACAGUCAAUCCAAGGAAAACUUCAUCAACUGCAUUUAACCAAAAGACUUGUCUUGGGUAGUAAAACGUGACCGCUCCAACUAUGAACGAGGCUUGGAAGUUUAUCAUCUCAACUUCUGUGGCAGGCAACUAGGGUUUAGGCAAGCCACCCAUGUCCCUUUCUUUUACAGUGUUCAUUGUGAGACCUCCUAUCGCCCUCACUCUCCCUCAUAAGUCACUAUUCGGGCUAGUUGGCGAAGUCUUGAGGUUAUGACCAAGAUAGCUCAUAAACCUACUGCCCUAAAUUUUGAGUGCACCCUCACAUUCACCAUUUCGUGGGAGACAAGUGGACUUUGAAAUAUGGUCAAGAUAUCUAAGAAGACCAUGACCGGAUCUUUGGGCAAGUCUUUUUUAGGUCUUUUCCAAAAAAGAAGGAGUUUGACAGUUGGAAGGAGACCAUCAACCAAAAGAAUUAACUCUUGUUGAUAAGUAAACAUUAUUGAUAUCUUUAUGCUCAUAAAACUCCUACACACUAACUGUUUUUACUCUUUGCAGAUUAAGACAAUCCCGAGAAAGCAGUUGUCGAGCCAGAAGAAGAUGAUGCAUAUGAACUAGUCUUUAGAGAAGUUGUUACGACAACAUUGAGGAAAGAAGAAAACUCUAGCCAUGCUUCUGGUGACAUUGAGAACAUCUAUGAGAUGUUCAGUGAAUCAGAGUCUAAGGCCGGGUCUGGAGUAAAAACUAGAGCUUCUCUUCAGGCAAGUUCUUUUGUUGUGGUUUCUUCUAAUUCUGAGCUCGAGAGACGAUCAAAGGCCAAACAUGAUCUCCCUACUCCAAAGGCUUCCCCAUCUAGGAAAAGGACCAAGUCUAAAACUUCCCAAACAACAGUUCCUCUUCAAGCAUAAGCGGGUAGGAAAAAGCUGAAGUCAGCCAAUAAGCAAUCAUAUCCCUAUCCACUCUCUUUCUUUUUAUUAUGAUCAGUUAGUUUAUUGUGUUAUUUCUGUGACAAGACCUAUUGCCAGCAAGAAGCUUGAUUCUCCUCCGAAAGAAACAAUGACCAGAUUAGAUGAGAGUCAAAAUGAUAGGGAGGUCAUCUUAAAAGUCUUAAGGACUUGAAGGUAACUUUUGUUUUAGAUACUGUUGCUACAUUCCCUCCAAGCUCUGUUUUUUUUAUAAACCCGAGUUACUUAUUAUUUUAACAAGUUUCUAAAAUAGGAGGGUCCCCCCAAGCUAAGCCCAUCUCAUCUCCUGCCCAGUCGGUGCACACUUUUUCUCCUAAGAUUGAGCCUUCAUAGGUAAGUCAUUCUUCCUAGUAGCCCGAUAACUUGAUGUUUGCUUUAAAUAUUGACUUUGAUAUUGUUGUCUUUCCCAAGCAGGGAAUAACACCCUACCCCCGAAGGUCGGGCAAGCACCAACUACUUCUUCUCAGUCUCCCUGGUUAUCUCAGCAACUCCUACCUCUCAAUUUAACCCUACAACAUGAGAGAUGGUGCACUUUGUAGAAGAUGAAAGCACAACCUCUAUAAGUGUCUUGUUUUCUUAUGCAUUUUUUAGUUGUUCAUUUUUCUAAACUAAUCUUUUGUCUACUACCUUUGCCAGUCUUCCUUUUCCCUGAAGUUACCAGACCUAAAACUCCAGUUGUUGAUGUCCUAAGAGUACUCAAGAUCUACUGACCUCAAAGGCCACAGUAGUUCGAAGGGUCCCUAUCAACCCAUAAGCUCCAGACAAGUCUGGACCUAUAGAGGCAGCAUCACCUAUCCUUCCAACCAAAGCUCAAGAUCAGCCUAAGGUAAAGAGAUCUUCCUGCACCUUUCUUUUCUUUACUACUAAUUGGAGUUGUAUCCUAAUUUGUUCUAUUUUUGGUUUCCGAGUCUCCACUGGUGAUUCAAGCAACACUCAUCAGUCCAACAUUGGUGAAGUUGCUUCCUCCAAACUUGUUCAGGCUGCUAGGGUCACUGAUGUUCCCAUUCCUCGCCCAAGGAUGGCUACAACGGCUAGAUCUUCUUCAGCUUCAGGCUCUUCAAAGAUGCCUUCUCCCUUGGCCUCAUUUCUAGCCACUGCCUCUUUGCAUGAACUAGUUAGGGAGUUCGGGCAAAUUAGAACAAAGUUGAGUUUUCCUAGGCGCCCCUUUGAGCCCCAACACAUCCAGGAAUAAUAAGAGAAUCUUCAAGGAAUGGGUGCAGCAUGAUUUCUCUGCUACCUUCGGCUUAAAAUCCCUCCAAGAGGCCGAACGUGCCUUAACUGAGCUAUAUCAGCUCAAGCAGAUGACAAAGGUGUAGUAUGAAUCCUUUUAAUCCUUCUUUGAGAACCUAAGGGCUUUGAGGGGCAAACAUUAGAAUGUUAAGAGACAGGCUGAGAGGGUGAAGUGUCACAAGGAGAAACAAACUCAAUCCUCAAGCAACCUACAACAAUUGGUAGAUGAGGGCUUAGGGCUUAGCAAUGGAGGACAAGAUCAUGGUGGUAGCUUCAGAGAUUAAUAAGCUAGAUCAAUAAUUGUCUAAACUAAAGGUUAAGCAAAUGACCCUUUUUAGCAAGCUUUACAAGAAGAUUGAAGAGGUUAAGAAGGUGUAUCAAGAAGUGGAGGAUUCUGAAUCCCAUCUUACCAACAACAAUAUUGUCAUGGAGGAGGCUGGCCACAUCUUUACUAUCAUGCAGACUUAUCACUCUAGGAUAGCUGCUUUAGCUAAAGAUGUAAACUGCAAUUAAGAUCUCUUAUACUUCCCAAUUUUAAUUAAAGCUUCUUUUGAUUCACUACCAUCCUCUAGCUAAUACUUUUAUUUAUUUACAUCCCUCUUUCUACUAAAGUCUCAACCAAACAAAAGAGAACAAAUGAAACUACUUUGAAUACAACUAUCAGUUUAGCAAUUCAUCAAUCUAGAUUUCAUCAAAUGGCAAUCUCUAGCAUCCUAAAGAGUUGGGUGAUACUUCUUCAAGUACUUGCUAUUGAUUGGAUGUUUCUGGAAAUCUCCUUCUAAAUCUGCCAAGCAAUACGCCCCCUGUCCAUAACUUUGGUAAUUAUAAAAAGACCUUCCCAAGUGGGGCUCCAUUUCCCAAAUCCUCCUACUUGUGCUCCCAAGGGCAAUAUUGCCUUUUACACCAAUUCUCCUUCCUUAAAUGAUCUCAUCCUCACUCUUUUAUUGUAAGCUCGGGCCGCUGCCUUUUUCCCUUCUUGGAUUUUGUUGCCUCUAUUUGGGCAACAUCUAGAUCUUCAAUCCCUUAACAUACCUUGAAUAUGUUCAUCACUAUGUUGUAGGCCGAAUUGGUUUGGAGUUUUACAGAAAUCACAUUGAUCUCCAUAGGAAGUAUAACAUCUUGCCUGAAUGUCAACGCAUAAAGGGUAGUUCCAAUCCAUGCUCUUUUUGAAAUUCUGUAGGCCCAAAAAGUGUCUCCUAACUUCUCAUGCCAACUUUCUAGGCUUUCUAGGGCCAUUCUUUUUAUGAUAUUUACCAAUAUCUUGUUGCUAGCUUCUGCUUGACCAUUAGACUAGGAUAAUAAGGGCUAGAUUUGAUCAUCUUUAUCUUGAACUUGGCCGCAAAUUCCUCCACCUCCUAAGAAAGGCCAAGGUUUCACCAUGGAUAAUAUGUGCUGAAGAGGAUCAUGUCUCUGGCACUCAUCACAUCCUUUAGCAUAAGCCAUACUAUCUUCUUCCAUUUUUGGCCAGAAGUACCCAUAUCUUCUUAGUAACCACCUCAUCUUUGUUCUUGCUUAGUGUGCUCCACAAAUGCCUUCAUGUACUUCAGCCAUUACCCUCAUUGACUCUUCCAAACCCAAGCAUUUUAAUAAGAGUCCAUUUUGGAGUUUUUCUCAACAAAGUUCUAUCCCACAUAACAAAUUUAGACGCUUAUCGUCUAAGCCUCUUGCUAGUCUGGAUGAUAGGUGUCCUCCAGUCUUCCAUUUUAGGCUCUUUAGUCAUCACAUCCAAGCCAAUUGUGCCAAAAGCCAAUUGUGCCAUCUAGUUUGCAGCCAAGUUUGAUUCUCUAGGAAUAUGGUUAAUUGAAAUUUCAUUUCCCCAAUAUCCUAAUAGAUGAGUAGCAGCUAUGUAAUACCUUGACAUUAUGAUAUGCCUGCACUUGUAUUCUCUAUUUAAUUGGUUAACCACCAACUCAGAGUCACCAUACACUUCCACUUCAAUUGCUCCCAACUCCAUUAAGAUUUAUAAGCCAAUAAUCAAUGCCUCAUACUCUGCCUUAUUGUUUCUGGUAUCUCCUACAAUGAGUAAUAAUGCUGGACUCCUUGUGGAUCAAGGAUGACUAUCCUAGCCCCUGUAGCCUGUUUUGUGCAGGAUCCAUCGAAGUAUAACUCCAGGGGAUGAUCCAUAGGCUAGCUAUCCUCUUUACUUCUUGUUGUAUCCAUUCUUCUUUGCUCGACUGCAUUUUACUGGAUGGGAUCCAUAUGCUAGCUACCUCCAAUGAAACAGGGAUGUUGAUUAAUUCCUCUUGGGACUCCUGGUGCUCAGCCAAAAAGUCUGCAAUUACCUAUCCCUUCGCUGCCUUUUGGGGUCACAUAUGGAAGCUAAAUUAUGAUAGUGCUAGUAUCCAUUUCCCAAUCCUUCCAGUUAACAUUGGUAUAGACAGCAUAUAUUUGAUUACAUCAGUCUUGGCAAUUAUGUGGAUGUGGCAGGGUAACAUGUAAUGCCAUAAUUUGCUAGCAGUGAAAUAUAAGCUUAGACACAACUUCUCAAUUGGGGUGUAUCUUGUCUCCACAUCAGAAAGGAUUCUACUAAGGUAGUAUCAUGCUUGUUUUUUCCCCCUUCAUUAUUCUAAGCUAGCAAACUCCCUAUAGAUCUCUCAGAUGCUAAAAUGUAGAGCUUCAGGGGCUUCCCUCUUUGGGGAGGCAUGAGUAUUGGAAGAGAGGCUAGGUAUGCCUUAACUUUUUCAAAAGCUUCCUAGUGUUCCAGUCUCCACUCGAACUUGUCUUGGUUUUUCAACCUCAACAUAUGGGUUAAAGGUUGGAUUUUGUUGCCAGGUUGGCAAUAAACCUUCUCAAGAAAUUAAUUUUUCCCAACAGUUGAGCCAACGCAAACUAAGUUUAAUCAAAGAAAAUGUUGAGCCAACGCAGACUAUGUUUAAUCAAAGAAAAUGUUGAGCCAACUGCAAAACAGGGAAAGGAAAUGCUAAAUUGAUAAACCAAAUAAGCCUCCAAUGGUAAAAUUUUAGCUCAGUCACUACAUAACAGAUGUAUCGUACAUAUUGAGUAAGCCAGUAUGUGUAAAUUUUCCCAACAGCUAAAUGAUCUCUAUAUCUAACCUCCAAAGCAUAAGAAGACUAAACAUUCUAAUUUUUCAGUUCAAACAGUAGAUUUUAGGUUCAUAUCUUACUGAACGAAGGAAAAAAAAAAUUUUUUUGCUUCUGCUAGGUAGCAUUUACAAUGCAAGAACAUUGCACAUGAUCCCACUAGGACCGAUAUCGUAAGCCUAGCUAAGAAUACUACAGUAAUGUAAUGGUUGUCUCCGGAAAGACCGAUGCACACAUUUCUUUAUCCUAAUUCCUCACAGUCCAAUGCACACACUUCAGUGUACUAAUAGCCACAAAGUAGUCUAAAAACCCAUACACUCACAAUCCCACAAAAUGUUCAAAGUACUUAUGAAAAAGUUGAAGAACAGAGAAUUUGCCGACAAGGUUACGCUUUUUCCCAACUACGCCUUCUCAUCCCCUCUUCCGCUCUUCAUUAAUUUAUUUCCAUUAAAAUUGUUUAUGCGCUUUUGAUUAUUUAAAUGGACUUUUUAUAAUUUCCAAGGAUUUAAAUUGUUUCCAACAUUAUGUUUUCAUUUCACUGUUUUGGUGAAGUCUGAUUCCUUUUUUUCAAAAUAUAUGAUUCGGUUUGUAGGUGAAAAUUUUUUUAGUAAGAAAAUAGUUACCUUGCAAAUUGGAUCCAUGUUUGAACACUUUCACUUACUUACGGCUAUAAAAUAAUAAGAAUAUUAUUAAACAAACGAGAAUGUCAAAACGGCUACAAAACCCUAAGAAACUACAUUGUGAAUGACUUAUUCUAAACUGAAUAACAAGCAUGCUAUUUAUAAUAAACUAACCCUAACCCUAAAAGGUAAGAAACGAAACCCUAAUACUAACGGGCUAAGUCCAUAAAAUUAAGCAUUCAAAUAAACCUAAAUAUACUAAUAUUUUCCAACACCUCCCGUCAAACUCAUGGCGGUAUACGACAUGGGUUUGCAAACAAACAAAUGUGGACUGGCUCCGUUAGGCAGACUGGCAGGCAUGCAAACUUGACUUGACUUGACUUGACUUGAUUCUUGAUUCUUGACUUAACUUGAUUCUUGAUUCUUGAUUGUAAACUAGCAAACUGGUUCUUGCUUUUUGAUUGGCUAGUGUUGAGAGUAUGGAAAGAACCUGUCACUAAACGGACGAGAUUUUCAUAUCUCAAUUUUAGCAACGAACAAACAAACACAAAUACUAUCACUCGAGUGGUCACAAUUCAACACUCCAAACACUCGAAUAAUAGUCACAAAACAAUUCCAACCAGGCCAACAAACCAUUCAUGCAGGCCUAAAACAACUUAACCAUAUUUUUAUUUUUGCCCGUGUAGGCCUAAAACAAAUAGCAAACAAUAUUUUCCUUUUUUUUUAUUCACUUUCCUUUUGCUUCUAUUUUUCUUUCUUUCCUUUUUUUUAUUUUAUUUUAUUUCUUCCCAUUUUCUUACUUCCCUUUUCGGAGGUCUGGUCUUCUUCAAACCAGCAACAAGCACAUCAGAUGCAGGUUUGGCGGCGUGACAGGGUUGGGUCCAAAGCGGCGGGAGGUUCAAGUGACAACGAGAUGUUGGGUUCAUCAGAUCGAGUUCUUCAGGUUGUGGGUUGGGAUUUUUGGCAACAAGGAUUGCGGCUGUGUGUGGGUCGUUGGGUCUCGAGUUGGGUACAAGGUGGUGCGACGGCAAGUGGCAGCAUGGUGUGGGCACAAGUUUGUCGUCAGGUGAUGGUGCAAGAUUUCUGGGUUCCCGUCAAUCUUCAGAUCAAGAGCAAAUCUUUCAUAGCUUCAGAUCAAGAGCAAAGGAAAACGGGUCUGAUGCGAGAUGGUGGUGCGGUAGUUCAAGCAAGCGAGACCGCGAGGUAGGAUCUGGAGGAGGGGAAGAUUCAGGUUUUUGUUUUCUUCUGCAAACUAAACCAACAACAAUCUAAACAACGAACAAGACGGACAAACAAAUUGAUACGAAUCAAGGGCAUAUUAAAUCCCAAAAGAUAAAACCUGGUCUGAUACCAAGUUGAAUAUCAGAGUGCACAACGAACAAGACUAACAAUAUAAUAAGAAUAUUAUUAAACAAACGAGAAUGCCAAAACUGCUACAAAACCUUAAGAGACUACAUUGUAAAUGACUUAUUCUAAACUAAAUAACAAGCAUACUAUUUAUAAUAAACUAACCUUAACCCUAAAAGGUAAGAAACGAAACCCUAAUACUAAUGGGCUAAGCCCAUAAAACUAAGCAUUCAAAUAAACCUAAAUAUACUAAUAUUUUCCAACACAAUGCUUAUUCGGGAACCUCAUCCAGCAAAGAAUCAACAAGUUUUCUGUAAUUUUGGAGUCCUUACAAUCUAAGGAUUAGCAUGCGCUGUAAGUAAUCACACUCCUAAAAGAAUGCAAUAUCUACCUCUUAAAUAUUCCAGGAAUUCUCCCGGUUUAAUAUUCUCUUACCUAGUGCUUGAGUCUUAUAUUGCUUAGAGCUAGUUUGGUAUUGUUGUGUUUUUUUUAAAAGCUUUAUGUUGUGCUCUGAGAAUAAACUGUUAUAAAAUAAAAUAGCUGAGUGUUUGGUAAAUUUAUUUAUUUAUUUUUAAUGAAUGAACAUUCUGUUUUCUCUUUUAUUUUUCUUAGGCUGAAAAAUACAUCUUUGAAUUGAUAGCUGGUUCCGUUUGAGUUGUAGAUACAGUUUCACGUGUAGAACCUGCAACUCCUGCUAAACGGAUUCUAUCAACUUCUCCGCAAGCUGCCAUAAGGUUUUGAAAUACAGGGUUCGACCUAUCACUUCUGUUAACAAGAAUACCCUCGUCAACCAACCGUACAAAAGUGUCAUUCUGAAACCUUUCCGCAUUUUCCUUGAACAACUUCAACCACGCUGUCUUGGAGAAUGCCUGCAGCUCACCGAGAUUUUGAGUGGUAAUACAGGAGAGAGCAGCAGCAUAGUAAUCUUUCUCUAGCUUUGUGCAGAACCGUUCCUUCACGAGAGGAGGUGGUGGAAUCCGGUCUACCUCAGUCAAGUGCAUCCAGGUCAUGUCCAGCAGCUCCGCCUUCCAUCUUUGCAAGCGUCCAAUAUCAUCCGAAGAUGGCGUUUAGCAUUGAAGUGAAACCCAUGGUGUAACAUCCCUAUAUAUACAUACUCGAAAUCAUCCCACCUCUUUUCUGUGACGCAGGCAUCUAAUAAGGUGUUGAAAGUGUAGCUCUCUGGUAUUAUCAAUUGAAUUUUACGGCUUAAUUUUCAUGUAUUGCAUAAUUGAGAAUAUAAUACAUACAAUCCUUGUUCUCCAAGGUAAACCAAAAAAGGACAUAAGAAAUAUCCUUUUUAAUAAAGGACUCUAAUAUUUACACAAUAUUUACAUUCCUAUUCAAAAACCAACUCACGCAACACUCCUCCUCAAGUUGGAGCAUAGAUGUCACACAUGCCCAACUUAACAAGUGAGUUACCAAAAACUCUACUACACACGGCAUGAGUGAGGAUAUCGGCAAGCUGCUCUUCUGAGCUCACAUUGGUACUGACACAAUCUUCUUCUCAAGCUUUUCCUUAAUGAAAUGUCGAUCAACCUCCACAUGCUUCAUUCUGUCAUGUUGUACCGGGUUCUCUGCAAUUUCUCGUGCCGACUUAUUGUCACAAUACAACUUUAUAGCCUCCUUUUGUUUGAAACCAAGACCCCAAAGCAACUUACGUGUCCAAAGAACUUCACACACUCUAUGUGCCAUACCUCUGAAUUCAGCCUCCGCAGAAGACCUAGACACCACAUUUUGUUUGUUACUUUUUCAAGUAACCAAAUUUCCACCAACGAACGUAAAAUAUCCAGAAGUAGAACGCCUAUCAGUCACAUCACCAGCCCAAUCAACAUCAGUGAACCCCUCAAUUUUUAGAUGACCAGAAUUUCUAUACAAGAUUCCUUUCCCUUGGGCUGACUUUAAAUACGCCAAGAUACGCAUAACAGCAGCCAUAUGAUCCACACUUGGUGGGUGCAUAAAUUGACUCACCACACUCACUGCAUAGGCUAUAUCUGGAUGAGUAUGAGCUAAAUAAAUUAGUCUUCCUACCAGCCUCUGAUAUCUGCCUUUAUCCACUGGUUCUUGAUCUGGUUAAAUCCCUAAGUGAUGUUUCUCCACAAUAGGCAUAUCCAUAGGUUUAAACCCAAGCAUACCUGUUUCCUUUAACAAAUCAAGAACAUACUUCUUUUGAGACAAGAACAUACCUUUGGACGAACGAGCAACCUCAAUUCCCAGAAAAUACUUUAAGUCACCAAACUCUUCGCCUCGAACUCAGCCGCAAGGUUCUUCUCUAAUUUGACAAUUUCAUCUGAAUCAUCCCCUGUUAUUAUCAUAUCAUCCACAUAAAUAAUUAAUGCUGUUACUUUACCAAUCCUCCGUUUCACAAAUAGAGUAUGAUCAGAAUGACUCUGAUAAUACCCAUUCUUUCUCAUGGUCUGAGUGAAUUUUCCAAACCAUGCACGAGGUGACUGCUUUAGCCCAUAGAGAGAUUUCCACAAUCGGCACACUUCCUUUUUUCCUCCAUUAUCAUAUCCUAGAGGAAAAUCCAUGUACACUUCCUCCUCCAAAUGUCCAUGAGGAAACACAUUUUUUACAUCAAACUGUUUCAAUGGCCAAUUCAAAUUUGCAGCUAAUGAGAUUAGAACUCGUACCGUGUUCAUCUUAGCUACUGGAGAAAAAGUUUCCUGGUAAUCAAUGUGGAGCCAAAAAUAUUCACCAGGCGACACGUGGAUUUUUGGACAAAAGAGGACAAAAUUACCCUUGAGGCAUACUAGGAUUCCUACGCGCGAGCAGCGGACAAUCAUCUUUCAACCAAGUCAAAAGUGCCCAAAAUAGGUAACAAUUUAAAGCCUAUUUCAUCAAAUCCUUUCUAUAAGGUAAUUCCCAAAACCUAAUUUAUUCUAUAUGUUUUAUAUUCCAUUAUUUAGCUAAUCAAUUAGCUAAAUAAUAUAUUCCUUUCAUAUUUCCUAAAAACAUAAUAAUUGACCAAUUAAGGGAUUAAUUACCUAAUGAAUCCCUUAAUUAUCAAUUAAAACACCUAUUCAAACCUAAAGCUACUAAGAGGCCUGCCAUCCCCAUUCAAAAAAGGGUCCAUCACUUUUUCUACCUUUUUUCACCAUUUCUUCCUUUUUUAUUACCCCAUUUAUACAGAUAUGUAACCACCAAUUUAUUCUUUAGGGUUUAAUUAGUCAAUAAAUUGACUAAUUAAACCAAAAUAAAACCUAAAAACCCUACUUAGUGGCUGGCCACAUUUCCUCUCUAAAGUGAACCAACCUAGCCCUAUAAAUAGGCUCCUAUUUUCACCAAAUAUUCAUUCCAAUUCUCUUACAAAAAAAUCCCAAAUGCUCUAAACACUCAUUCUCUCUAAAAUUCUAACUUUGGCAUCGGAGGUUCUUCGGCCAAAGCCCCCCCCCCCAUUCAUCGUGGGUGCGUGAGGUUUUUCGCCUUAACCUAAGGUGGUAGUUGUUUUGUAGGUGCAAAAUCGUCCAAGAUCGAGGAGGAGAAAAUUUUCAUCCACAAAUUGGUGCUUUCAUUGAGAGUUGAAAUCCACACUCGUAGAAGAUUCUCGCACAAAAAGUUUUUUUUUCUCUAUUUUCUAGUCCAUUUGAAUAUUUUUCAUACGUUCUUUUUAUUAGAAUUUUUUACUUGCAAAGGUUCUUUGAUAAAACGUAUAAGAAAAAUAUAAUGGCUAGAAAUUUGGAAAAUACCACAAGUGAAAAUUCUAAUUCUCAAGAAAUGGGAUUGCGGAGAUCCACAAGGCAAAAUACGAUCAUAAAUAGAGUGGCACCACCACUACGAGGUUCCACCAUGGCCCAAGCCGUGCCAUCCAAGUUUGCACAGACCCAAGGCCAAGCCUCGCAUUCGCAUGCACCACGCACUUAGCAGCCUGCUCUUGUGAUCCAGCCUGCUCUUGUAGCCCAGCCUGCUCCAGUGAUCCAGCCAGCUCUCGGGAUCCAGCCUGCUCCCGGGAUCCAGCCUGCUCCUGCAGCCUAGCUUGCUCUCAUGGCUUCCCAAGCUACCCAAGUCAGCCCGAGACUAUCUCAACCAUCCAGACCAAUCAUCAAGGCUGGGGCGUUUUCGCCACAUUUCUCCGCAGAUUUGACAUUCCCCAACUUAAAUCUCGCACUCGGAGUCAACCACCCUUCUAUUGUUCAAGGAGGUGUAUUCCAUCCAAGUUCUUCCAAUCCGAAUGGUGAACAAAACUUGUCCCGACAAGUCAUAGAAUUGACAAGCGCCCUUGCAUAACAAGCAACCUUGGUGAAUCAACUUUUGCAACGCACCGAGAUCCAAUGUGCCCCAUAUGAAAUAUCCUGAAGUAGGACAAGGGUAGACGAGGGACCUCUCAAGUAGCGUCCCGAAAAGCAGCUGCUCAACCAACCCUAAAUAGAGCAUUCAGGCAGUGCACACUCUCAAUUGGGCCCCCGAGAUAGCGUAUACUCCCAUCUUAGCGCGCGGAGGAGCGUGCACUCUCGACUAGGCCCAUAGGCAAGUAUACAUUCACGGUUGAGGCCACGCUUUGAUAAUCAACAUGGGCAGCCUUCCAGGCAAAACAUUUAUUCACAGUUAGGCCCGCAAUGUGUAUCUUUCACAUCACAUCGGAGUAGGCAGCCUGACAAACGAAAGGAAAUAACCGUUCAAUCUAGCUCUAGUUUAACCGAUAGCCUGCAAAGAAAUCCCUCGCCUAUUAGGAAUCUAUCUUAUACACUGUAGCCACGACAUAGACGAGCCGAGCGUGUAAAAGUGCAGCUUAGACCGGCAGGUAAAGACCAAAGGCAGCCAAAGGCUCCAUUACCCCCAACAAAGGCAAAUCCAAGAAGAGGUAGAAAGGCUUUUCAAUGACCGGAUGCAUGAUUUCCGACGCAACGAAAUGGUUGAUAAAGCACUAAGGCGAGAUAUGACCAACAUAAUUAGGUCACCUUUCAUGGAUGAGAUUGAGUAGGGAGAGCCUCCACGCAAGUUUAGCAUGCCACACUUCACAUCUUUCAAAGGAGACGGGGAUCCAGAAAGACACUUGAAGCAUUACCGAAGCGCGAUGGUCCUUUAUCAUUAUAAUGACGCUCUUAUGUGCAAAAUAUUCACCAUUACUUUACAAGGCGAGGCACAAGAUUGGUUUCAUACUUUGCCGACACGAUCCAUUCAGAAUUUUGAUGAUCUUUCCUUGGUUUUCACCAAAUAAUACUCAUCUUAUCUUUCGAUCAAGAAAAAGUCCGAUCACUUGUUCAACAUAAAGAAAAACCCAAAAGAGUCACUUCGCGAUUACGUGAAGAGAUUCAAAGCAGAGUAAGCGAAGAUCGUCGGAUGCGAUAACUCGAUAACAAGUGUAGCCUUCCAAAAAGGACUCCCAGCAGACCACCCACUGUUCGAAGAAAUGAUCAUGAAAGAAGACCUAACUCUAGCAGAUUCCUUUGCUCUGGCAGAGAAGCAUGCACUUUGGAACGAGGCUCGACAAGUAGAAAAUGUGCCCAAACAGCCUCGAAAAGAGUUGGCAACUGCUCAAAGGAAGGAGGAUGGAAAGCAGCCUAACAAGGGCAUGUAUGAGGUCAAACGCAGGGACCGACCCGCGACCAAAGAAGGCCCAAUAACCAAUAGCUAUUCUAAGUUCUCAAUUAUGAUUCAUCAAAUCCUUCGUGACAUCAAGAGUGAACCAUGGUUCAAGUUGCCCAAACAAUCAAAAUGAGAUACUUCCAAGUUGGACCACACCAAGUAUUGCGCGUUCCACCGAGGUCCUGGUUACACAACCGACGACUGCUACAUUUGGAAGAAAUACCUAGAGAAGCUCGUGAAAGAAGGCAAAGUCGAUAGAUACUUGGACAAGCCAGCUGCGCAGCCAAAAAGGAAUGCAGACGGAAAUGAGGAGCCACCAACCAAGAUGAUUCGAAUCAAUGGCAUUUUACCCGAAUCCGAACACUUGGGGGCCACUAAUAACUCCAAAAAAAGGAAGAUCUAGCAGGCUUUACUAAUCUCACAGGUUCAAGCAGUCGAUACCCAACCUGGACCUAUUAUUGGCUUCAUUGAGUAGGAUGCAGAAGAAGUCGAUUUCCCACACGACGAUGCACUAGUAGUAUCUGUCCAACUAGCCCAUGCUAUAGUCGACAUGAUAAUGGUUGACAAUGGAAGUGCAGUCAACCUACUUCAACUAUCAGUCAUUUAGAAGAUGGGCCUAGAAAGUACAAUCAUACGCUGGGCAGAAGUCUUACUGGAUUCAACGGACACACCUCAACUGCCAUCGACCAUAUCACACUUGACGUGAAAACACCGCCAGUCAUCUCAAAGAAAACAUUCACGAUCGUAAGCGAUCCAUCUCCCUACAAUGGGAUUCUUGGGAGACCUUGGUUGAUCAAGCUAGAUGCCGUCACUUCCGUCAAGUAUCAAAAAAUCUGAUUCCGCAUCCUAGGAGUAGGAGUCGGAGAGAUCAAGUCUGACCAGGCUUCAUCCCGACGAUGCACUGUGCAAAUGUUGAAAGAAUCAAAUAAGAAGACCUUUAUCCUUGUAGAGGUUACCGAAGUCCAAAAGGACAAAGAAACUACCAAAUAGCAAUUACAGUAGGUGGAUCGAGAAGAUGGCGCCUAAGCAAACAAGAUAGGAUGGAAACCCAAAGAGGACGUCGAAGACAUCAUUCUUGAUCCUCAGCAACCGGAAAAGAUGGCUAAAAUUGGCUCACGACUAAGCCCAGACGAGAAGGAAGAACUCAUGAUUUUCCUUAGAAAAAACCGAGAUAUCUUUGCAUGGUCACCAUCUGACAUGCCCGGUAUUGACCCCAAGGUGGCCUGCCACAAGCUGCACGUCGACCCUACUGCCAAACCGGUAAUCCAAAAAAGAAGACAUGUCGCACCCGAACGAGUAGCGAUCAUUGUGGCAGAAAUUGACAAACUAUUGGAGGCUGGUUUCAUAUAAGAGGUAGCACACUCGGCAUGGCUUGCUAAUGUCGUACUAGUCAUGAAGAAAGGAAAAGGCAAAUUGAGGGUUUGCAUAGACUACACCGACCUCAACAAAGCAUGCCCAAAAGACCAUUAUCUUGUCCCCCGGAUUGAUCUAUUAGUAUAUUCAACUUCUCGAAACCAGUUACUCAAUUUCUUAGACGUAUACUCUGGCUACAACCAAAUAGCCAUGUAUGAGCCCGACAAGGAGAAAACUGCAUUUGUAAUAGAGCGAGGCACCUACUGCUACAAGGUCAUGCCCUUUGGCCUCAAGAACCCAGGAGCCACUUACCAAAGGCUAGUAAAUAUGAUGUUCAAGAAGCAAAUUGGUGUAACCAUGGAGGUCUUUGUCGACGAUAUCAUGGUAAAGGGCAAGUAACGAUCAGAUCACAUUCACAAUUUGGCAGAAACUUUCAAUAUCCUUAGAAGGUACAAGAUGAAGCUCAACCCUACCAAAUCCACGUUUGGAGUAUCUUCAGGCCUAUUCCUAGGGUACUUAGUAACCCAACGAGGAAUUGAAGCACAUCCCAAGCAAAUCCAAGCAAUCCUAGAGAUGAAGUCUCCAACUACCUUGAAGGAGAUCCAAAGCUUGACCGGAUGAGCAGCUGCCCUCAACCGCUUCCUCUCACGAUCCACCGAUCGAUGCAAGCCUUUUUUUCAAAAGCUAUCAAGGGGGCACAAAUAGACAAAUGGAAUGAAGAAUGCGAAAAAGCUUUCCAAGACUUGAAGAAUUAUCUCACAUCACCUCCCUUACUAUCCAAGCCAGAAGCAGCGGAGGAUUUAUACAUUUAUUUGGUAGUCUCUGAAGUAACAGUGAACUCUGCCCUCAUACGAAAAGAGCUAAGGGCCCAACUGCCAGUAUUCUACAUUUCUAAAGCUCUUAUCGAUGCGGAAACAAGAUAUCCAAAGAUUGAAAAAUUAAUUUUGGCUUUAGUUGUUGCGGUUCGGAAGCUCAGACCAUACUUUCAAGCUCAUACAGUCAUUGUCAUGACUCAGUAUCCCUUACGAUCAAUAUUACAUGGUUCGGAUGUUUCUCAAUGAGUGAUGAAAUAGGCAUUGGAACUUGUCCAAUAUGGUUUAGUUUUCUAACCUCGCAUAGCGAUAAAGGCCCAAGCCUUGGCAAACUUCGUAGCAAAAUUCACGCCUAGCCUAGGCGACACAACAUAGCGGCCCAACGACGCCCCAAAAGCAGCCGAGAGCACCUUAGCCACGCUUGCUCCAUCCGAUAAAGACUUUUGGAAUUUGCAUGUCGACGGAGCAUCUAACUAUAAAGGCUUGGGAGUAGGUGUAGUCCUUAUUACUCUAGACGACUCAAUGCUCAAGCAGGCGAUCACUCUAGACUUCAAAACAUCCAAUAACGAAGCAGAGUAUGAGGCCCUACUAGUAAGCCUCCGAAUGGUAAAAGACUUGGCGGCGAAGAAACUUGCAAUUCAUUCUGAUUCCCAACUAAUCACCAGCCAGGCUACUGGGGAAUACACGACAAAACACCUAAGGAUGGCACAAUACCUAGAGAAAUUACACCAGCAGCUUGAAGCAUUUCAGACUUACACUCUCACUCAAGUUUCAUGGGCAGACAAUGCCCAUGCAGAUGCACUAGCUGGUUUAGGCUCCGCCCUUGACCACCAAUUUAAAUGCUCUAUUCCGGUGGAAUAUCUAGAUAAGCCAAGCAUAAAGAUGGAGCAGAUGGCCGAAGUGUCACAAGUUAGUGUAACUCCCAACUGGUAAAGUUCUAUUAUAGACUACUUGGUCAGCGACAUACUACCCACCAAAAGAUUGGAGUCAAGGAAGCUCCAAAUCAAGGCGGCAUGCUACUAUAUGUGGAAUGGCAUUCUCGUUCAAAGAUCCUACACCGGACCACAUCUCCACUACCUAGCACCUCCCCGAUGACUUGAAGGUUCUAAGCUCAAUCCACGAAGGCAUUUGUGGGAACCACUCUGGAGGCCGAUCCUUAGCCCAGAAGGCUCUUAACGCAGGCUACUACUGGCCUACCAUGCACUAAGAUGCUAAGGAGUUAGUACAAAAGUGCGAUCACUGCCAACGCUACAAACUGGUACCAGCACUGCCUGCCAGUCAGCUACAGCCGCAGAUGAGUUCUUGGCCAUUCAUGCAAUGGGCAAUCGACCUGGUAGGGCCUAUGCCACCUGCUACUGGAGGCAGAUGCAUGAUAAUCGUGGCAACUAACUACUUCACCAAAUGGGUAGAAGCAGAACCCAUGACGACCACAACUUAGACAGACAUAGAGCGCUUCAUAUGGAGGAACAUCAUUUGCCGAUUUGGCAUCCCUCAGUCCAUUGUCACUGAUAACGUCCCUCAAUUUGUGGGAAAAGAUUUGGCUAAGUUCUUAAAAAAAUACGGCAUCGAACAAUACAUGUCCACACCGAGAUAUCCUCAAGGCAAUGGGUAGGCCGAAGCAUCCAACAAAACGAUCAUCGACUGCCUUAAGAAAUCCAUCAUUGACAAAAAGGGAAAAUGGCCAGAUGAACUCCCCGGAUGUUUAUGGGCAUAUUGCACCACCAAAAGAUGAGCGACCGGUGAAACUCCUUUCUCUUUAGCAUUUGGUUCAAAAGCAAUCAUUCCUUCCAACAUCAUCGUGCCAAGCAUCAACACUCUAUUGCCAAGCAUUGAGCAGAACACUAAAGAGAUGGCCAUAGACUUAGAUUUCGCAGAAGAGAGGUGCAAACAGACCAUCACCCCCAUCACAGCCUACCAGCAGUAGCUCAUUUCCAGCUACAAUAAAAGGGCCAAGAUCUGGCAUUUUCAACCCGGAGAUCUGGUCCUAAGAAAAGCCUUCGUCACUGCCCGCAAAGAAGGCUAAAAAAAGAUGAAUCCAAUCUGGGAAGGUCCUUACAAGAUCAGCAGAGUAGGCGAUAAAGGUAACUACGCCCUUACUACCAUGAAUGAUAAAGAGAUCGAGAAGAAAUGGAAUGCUUACAAUUUGAGGAAAUACCAUGUGUGACUUCCCACUAUAUUAAGACCCGAAUACUCGAGCAGCUCAACGUGCACCACCUCGUAAGCUGAGGACUAUCUAAUCAUCAUGCAGUCUUUUGCAGCCAAGUUAUUCGCAUUUUAUUCAUUUUUCAAUAAAGAAUUCAGAAGUAAUUUGUAACUUGGCUCGAUUACAUGUCUACAACAACUUAUCUUUUCCUGUACUUCAAAAGAACAUCGCACCCCCCUUUAGGACUUACUGCAGGAAUUGCACCCCUCAAGGAACCAACUAUGCUCUCCAAGGCGGGAGGAUAAACUCAACAUUCCGAAUAUCCAGACGUGGAUGAGCCUGGCUGCCCUAGUAUAACUAGGUGCAUGAUGGCUUGCGCUGGGAUUCCUAGAAAUAGUCACAAUGGUCUUUUUCAAGGCUUAGCUAGUUGAAGGAUUAUGGGUCUAUUGGCUUAAUCUGCAGGGAACCGGGCCCUAGAGACGGAGGGGGCACAUUACGUAGCACACCCAAUGGACGGCUGCCCUGGAAACCUAAAGCUGCUACCAAGUGCACUAAGGUAGCCUACGGAUUUCUGGAAGACUGCCUACGGCCUGCCCUUCAAGUAGUAGAACCACGCUAGACUUAUGCAACCGCACAUUCCUGUGAAAGGUUAAACAAGCUAGCGUGCAUACACAAAGAUUUUAUCCACUGCCGACAUGCUACGUAGUCGAUAAGCUUCACCUCUGCCAAACGCAAAGUCUUUACCGGAAAACUCAAAGUUAGACGGCCGCCCAUAGAGGUGAUCUACAUAGCCCAGCUUGUAGAACUCGGCUUGAUUUUGAGUAAGCGAAGCCUCGAAACCAUCAUUCUCACCCUUUAACUGCUCAUUCUCCUCAAGCAGACAAGCACGAACCCGCCACAACUCCUCAAUUUCCUUUUUCAGAUUGUCGUUGGUCUUCAAAACAUUUUGAAGUUCCAACACUUGAGGUUCAAGCCUGUCAACAACCUUUUUGAAGUGGAUCACGUGGUUGUAAGUAGCAAUCAAUUCUUCAUCCUUUGCAUAAGCAGCGUAGCGAAAUUCAGAGAUGGAACACUCAAGAUCUUGAAUCUAAGGUAUGUAACGCUCGAUUUCCUUCUCUGCACUUUCAUACUUUACUCGAAUCGCAUCAAGCCUAGUCUUCAAAUCCAUAAUCUCUUGGCGAGUGGCCUCAAGCUGCAGAGAAGUGGGGGCAAAAAUAUUGGAUCCCUUUAAAGCGGCAAGCUCAGAUUCCAAUUUCUUGAUUUUUUCGAUCGAGGAGUAAGCUUCGGCAGCCAUGGUUCUUGCCAUCUCUUUAGCAUCCUUGGUAUCCUCUUGGUUAAGGAACAUAGACUCAGUUGGCAGAAUUGUUGUUUUCUGCAUCAUGGCUAGCAGAGCAGUCUUCCUAUACUCAGGUGUGUGCUUCGCGAAAAGACUCGGACCAACAAUCUCCUUUAUGCCGUUAACAAACUUACCACAUACAUCCAUGUCUCAAGAAGAUCUGGCUUCAAAAGGGCGCAAAUCUCAGCAGCUUCCCCAGAAACAGCCUUGGUGGAUCUUCAAGCCUACUUGAACGAGUAGUUUCCUUCUUAUCAGCAAACGAAUUGGUCGUAGCAGUGGAAGAAGCAGGUUUUGGCACCACUUUAGCAGGCAAGGGCACCUUAUCACUCUUCAUAGUAGCAAGCCUCUUCAAGGGUGAGCCAGACUUAGCCUCAGACGGACGCUUUGGCACAAACUUUGGUAUCGGAGGCACAAAAGAACUUCUGCGCUGGGCAAUUUUUUCAGCAGUCGAGCUAGCAGCCUUCGAAGCAAUAGGGGUUACCGGCACAAAUCUAGCAGUUCGUUCUUUCUCGCCUUUAGAGGAAGUCAAGUCAAUCACAAUCUUGGGAACAGCUGGAGAAUCCCCACGAGCAGUCUUCAUUUUCUUUUCAGCAGGAAUCUCUUGAGCAGGCGAAGAAUGUCUCUUUUUCCCACCUUCAUUAAUAGUAGGCUCUAUCAUAGUGAUAGGACGAGCCAUCGCGUCUGCCUUGAUCCGUUUUAUUUCUACAAAGAAGACUAAGCCGCCAACGCUACUCACGAUAUUUGGAAGGGAUACCCAGAGCGACAUGUACUUUUUUCAUGUCUAGAGAAACCUUAGGAGUUAAGCCGAAUUCUGAAUUUACAAAAACCAACGACAGACAAUCAGAAAAUUGAAGAGUAACUUGGCACUAAAGCAAAGCAGCCGAGAAGACUAAGCAGCCUGCUUACUAGAUAUAAAGACCAUUGGUACAUGUAGCUUGAGGGAAGAAUCAGACUCCCAUUCUCCACUUAUCUCCAAAGUCUCUUUGGCCCAGUCAUGAUCUCCUUUGCUCGAGUUAUGAAAAAGCUUAUGAUGAGAUCACAAUUGCCCAACUCCAUCAAUGUGACCUGUGUCAAAGAAAUACCAAAAUUCAUUGGUGGUUAGUCUCAAGUCAAAGAAUUGGCUCAAAUUGUGGAACCCCACCAUCACUCGGACCGCAUUCGGGGAACAUUGGGCAGGCGCACAUUUCAUGGAGUAGAGCACUUCUUGGAAGAAACACGGCAUAGGGAAAGUAAACCCUAACAUAAAAUAGUAAGAAUGGAACUUGAUAGCUCUCCAAGUUCCACUGCAUGGCUCCCGGCUGCUACCAUCCUUAACUCGCCUCACACGCACUCCCAACGGAAUGGCAUGCCAACACACUUCAAGAAAAUCUCUAAACAAAUCAUCGGAGCUAAUCUUGAAGUGAGCAGCUUUGAAGUAGCCAACCUUGCUCAAAGACCCAUCUUGACGAUACAACGGGGGCACACCAUCAUCAUUCUUAUGGCUCGAGGAAGAUAUGCUUGAAAAUUCUACAAAAGUACAAAGAAGAUUUGUUAGAGAGUUGUUUUUAAAAAAAAAAAAAAAAAAAAAAAAAAACAAAGCAGCUCUCGACAAAAAAAAAAAAGCAGCUUUCGGCAAAAAAAAUAAAAACAAACAAAACAAAACAGGGAGCCCAGCCUGUGCUGGCUCCCCCCAUCCUCCUUCUCAACCUGAGAGGCCCGUGGCCCAGCAUAGCUGGCAGGGGGUAGUCGCCCCCACAGUUCUCUCUCUUCUUCACAGCCCAGGCAUGGACUACAAUACCAACCCGUAGCACCCCUUGGUCAAUUUUCAAAUCUCCUUGAUUUUUAUCAAGCUAAUUUCAAGUCUCGAAACUUCCAAGAAAAUCAAGAAGACAAGAAAAUUAUUUUUUUCUUACCUAGAACCAACGAGAAGAACGAACAAGCAAUGAAGGAUGAUCCUUUGCACGGACAAGAUGUAGAAGAUGGCUAGAGGAGGGGGAACAAAUAUCCUCUAAGCUCUCUCUCUCUCAUGUAGGGUAGAAUAAGUUUCUCCCUAAAAGUUGAUUUAAUAAUCCACUUAAGGUGGACUUAAAUAAGCUUUGAGAGGAAUUUAUUUCAUUUUCCUAAAAGGAUCUAACUUCCUAUUAAAAGAGAGAAUCAACAACAAAAUAGGAAGCAAUUCAAAGUUUCCUAAAGCAAGAAAAUCUCUACACCUGUUGCCCUUUUCUGCAAGCAACCCAACAGGUGUGGGGGCAUUUGUGAAGCCAAAAAUAUUUACCAGGCGACACGUGGAUUUUUGGACAAAAGAGGACAAAAUUACCCUUGAGGCAUACCGGGAUUCCUACAUGCGAGCAGCGGGCAAUCAGCUUUCAACCAAGUCAAAAGUGCCCAAAAUAGGUAACAAUUUAAAGCCUAUUUCAUCAAAUCCUUUCUAUAAGGUAAUUCCCAAAACCUAAUUUAUUCUAUAUGUUUUAUAUUCCAUUAUUUAACUAAUCAAUUAGCUAAAUAAUAUAUUCCUUUCGUAUUUCCUAAAAACAUUUAAUAAUUGACCAAUUAAGGGAUUAAUUACCUAAUGAAUCCCUUAAUUAUCAAUUAAAACACCUAUUCAAACCUAAAGCUACUAAGAGGCCGGCCAUCCCCAUUCAAAAAAGGGUCCAUCACUUUUUCCACCUUUUUUCACCAUUUCUUCCUUUUUUAUUACCCCAUUUAUACAGAUAAUCAAUUUUGUAACCACCAAUUUAUUCUUUAGGGUUUAAUUAGCCAAUAAAUUGACUAAUUAAACCAAAAUAAAACUUAAAAACCCUACUUAGUGACCGGCCACAUUUCCUCUCUAAAGUGAACCAACCUAGCCCUAUAAAUAGGCUCCUAUUUUCACCAAAUAUUCAUUCAAAUUCUCGUACAAAAAAUCCCAAAUGCUCUAAACAUUCUUUCUCUCUAAAAUUCUAACUUUGGCAUUGGAGGUUCUUCAGCCAAAGCCCCCCCAUUCAUCGUGGGCGCGUGAGGUUUUUGGCCUUAACCUAAGGUAGUUGUUUUGUAGGUGCAAAAUCGUCCAAGAUCGAGAGGAGAAUAUUUGCAUCCACAAUCAACACCAUACGUUUGAGUAUAUCCUUUUACUACCAACCAUGCCUUAUACCUGUCGAGUGAACCGUCAACUUUGUAUUUAAUUGUAAAAAACCAUCAGCACCCAACUGGCUUCUUCCCUUUCGGCAACUCCACUACUUCCCAUGUAUUAUUUUUCUGUAGUGCCUUCAUCUCUUCAUCCAUUACUUCCACCCAUUCUCAACUCUUCAAAGCUUCCUCUACUUGAGUUGGCACUUGAAUUAACUCCAUAUUGUUCACCAAAGCUUGACGUUCAGGAGAAAGGUUUUCACACGACACAUAAUUUGCUAUGGGAUACUUUCCUUUUCCUUCUAGAAAGAACCUUUCAGGAGGUACACCACGAUUUUGCCUUGGUGGCAGUUUAUAUGUACUUAUAACAUCAUUAGUUACAUGAGUAUCACUAGCACUUACCUCAGGGAUAUUCAGAGAACACGUAUUGGAUGAUGGCACGCUUCGAUACAAAUCUCAUGGCUGGUAGCUUUAGCAAAUGCUUGUGGUGAGGCAGGCUCGGCCUCGGUAGUAGGUGGCUGAACACCACUUACAACACAAGGGUUCUUGGUACAAGUUUCCUCAGCGGCAAUCAGUGGCUGCCCAUCUAUAUCAUCUUUGGUAGGAAGCAAUCGAGACCCUACUUCCUCCCUUGGUAUGGUAUUAUCAUCUCGUGCUUCCUCCUUUAGCACAGUAUUGUCAUCUUCCCCUGAAGGACACACGUCUUGGACAUCCAACCACCCAAACACACCAUCAAGAUCACAAAUAACACUCUCCCCUUUAGGAUCAGAAGGUGGGAAUAUGGGAGUAUAAAAAUACUCGGAUUCUGAGAAGGUCACAUCCAUGGUGACGUACAUGUGGUAGGUCUCAGGGUGAUAGCAUUUAUAACUUUUCUGUUGGGAUGCAAAGCCAAGAAAAACACACCGAAGAGCAUAAGGAUGCAAUUUACUACGCUGAAUCUUGUGGAUAUGAACGUAAGCAACGCAACCAAACACUUGAGGAGUAAGAGUGUUGGUAGAGACAACCGGAACAUGUUCUGUCAGAACUUGGAGUGGAGUACAUAAUUCUACAACCCGAGAUGGCAUGCGAUUGAUGACAUACACAACAUACGUAACGGCGUCUAGCCAAAAACUUUUAGGUACGGAUGCGCCAAUAAGCAAUACACAAGCAGUUUCCAAAAUAUGACGGUUCUUCUUUUCAGCCACCCCAUUUUGUUGUGGGGUAUAAGGACAAGUGGUCUCAUAUAGAAUUCCUUGAUCUCGAAAAAAAAAAAAAAAAAAAGCUUAGAGUUAACAUAUUCACCCCCAUUAUCAGAACGAAGAACCUGAAUAACGAAGGAAUAUUGUGUAGCCACCAUCUGAGAGAAAGACCGAAUAAUCAUACUAACAUUACUUUUAUGUUUCAACAAAUAAAUGAUGUGAAAAUUACUUGACACACAAAUUAAACCCUCUUUUUGACAAUUGUAGUAUAGAUGUAAGUAGGGUAUCGUUCUAGGCCGGGGAUUAGGAGGGAUUGCUAAUCUAUUCUAAAUUAAUUUAAAAAUAUUAAACAAGACUCAAGGACACAAAACUAGGCUAAAAACUCUAAUAACUCGAAACACACUUAGAAUGACUCAAAAUAAUGAAAACAGUCAAAUUAGACACUAGGAACUGAAAUGGACGGAAUUUGAAUUAAAAGACUAACAACAAUGAAAACUAACUAAAUAAUAUAAUUUAAUAAUGGGGGGGGGUUUGGUUUUGACGAGAAGUAAAUUGAACUUAAAUAAAUUACAGAAUUGACAAAAGCAUGAAAUUAAGGUGAAAGGAUAAGUGAUAGACUAGCUAGAGGGUUCUUCUCCACACAUGACACAUAUGCAACCUAAAUUGAUUUUCAGUUGUUCUUUCAAUAAAUUGUGAAUGACAAUGUUCCAAGUUAAUUAGGUCCGCUUAAAUUAACUCUUAGAUUUCCCUAGAUUCAUUGGAUUGAAUGGAAUACGCAUUACAACCAAAUUAUUCCUCAUCAAAGUCCCUAACUAUGAAAUACGCAUGAUAGAGACAUUCAACAAAGAUCAUUAAGUUCAACGGAAAUCAUAAACAUUGACUAGGCAUUCAUAACUAUGGAAUACGCAUGUUAAUCCAGCCUAGAAUUUACUUAACGUGAUUGUGACUAGCAACCUUCACUACUUAUGAAUAUAAGUUCAUAACGAUUAGGUGAAAUUCACUUAUAUUCUAGCAUCAAAUUCAUGCAUGUAAAUUAAGCAUGCAUUCUUAAUCGACAUACAAAAAUAAGUUAUCAAUCAAGCAGUUAAGCAAAUUAAAUCACAACUUAUAAAUCACAACUGAAGGUAAUCAAUUCAUAUUACAAAUAUAUUCAUGGCUUUGAAUUAACCUCUAGCCAAAAUAAAUUUAGUUACACAUUAUUAAAACAGAAAUAAAAUAUAAGUUUGGAAAGAUUUAACCGAGAGAGAGGACAACUUUGCUCCUUCUGUUUUUCUCCCUGUUCUCUCCGCACAGUUUCCUCUGGUGCACGAGUCUCUACCUUCUGCUUGCAGUUUUCUGUGCUGCCCCCCCUAACUUCUGACCUCCCUCUCCUUCUAUUUCUGCUGUGCUUCUGAUCCUCUCUCCGCGUUCCUCUCCUCUCGCCUUCUUUCCCUCUGUCCUGCCUGGCGCUGUGCUGCAAGGCAGCUUUCUUUUUUAUUUUAUUCUUUCCGCCUCCCACACUCUGCGCCUCUCUCUCACGCUGCCAAGGGCAGCCCUUGUCUUUCCUUCUUUUCUCUAUCCCGUUGCAGUCUCCCCUUUCAUGCUGCCCAAAGGCAGCCUUUCAUUUUCCCCGAAGCGUAGACCACCUUUUCUAGAUUGUCCCUCAGCUGGCUGCCUUGUGAGGAUCUCCCCUGGACCCCCUCCACGUGAAUGGAUCUUAUCGUCGACAAUAUGCUUCAGUCUCUGGUAGUAUGUGGGGCCAAGGAAUAUCAUAGUGCUGAGCCGCCUGCCCGUGUGACCAUUAUACAUGGUCUCGAAUCCACGCAUUUGAUACCCACAACUGUGAAGAGCUUUACUGAUAUUGUCCACCUAACAAAGAAAAUAAUAAGAUAUGCUUGUUCUCUUUUCUCCACCAUUCUGUGUCUGCCAUGAGUCUUCUUUCAUUUCUUUUACAAAACAUAAAUCAUGAUUAUUAUUUAUUUAUUUUUUUCUUUUUAAUUUUAUUUAAAAGCUGAUCUCCACAGACAGUUUUGACGAAUUUAUUACAUAAAAUUUCACUUGUUCUAUUUUUAUUUUCUUUGCAUAACAAAUCCUAUAAACACAAAAAUACGUAAAUAGUUCAAAAAUAUAAGGAACUAACUAAGAAAAGACGAGUGAAUUCGAAGUAAAAAUAUAUAUAAAUAUGAUCCGAUCAAUAAACUCAUGUCAUACGAGUGCAAUCAUCAACAAAUGUAAUAAACCAUUUAAUUCCUGAAGUAGUACUAAUGGGGGAAGCCCCCCAUACAUCAGAGUGUACUAAUGCAAAUGGAGAAGAUGUUCUAUUCAUACUCGGAGGGAAUGAAGCACGAUGACUUUUGGCUAGAAUACAUACUUCACAUUCCAAUUUUGAGUCUUCAAUACCACUGAACAAAUCAGGUAAUAUAUGUUUCAAAUAACUAAACGAUGCAUGCCCCAGACGACGAUGCAAUAACAAUACCUUCUGUAGAUUACUAUUACGUGAUAUACGAACCAAAUUAGCUCUUCCAGGAACCACGUCAUCCACAUAAUAUAGCCCCUUUCUCUUAGUGCCAUGCCCAAUGAUCUCCUUUGUCUGAAUAUCCUGAAGCAAGCAAAAUGAAGGAUACAUUAAUACAACACAAUCCAAUUGUUCAAUGACUUGAGGUACAUACAAUAAGUGAUGGGACAAUGACUAAACCAAUAAACAAUUAUGUAUGAGGAGAAAAGGUGUAAGAGACACUGUUCUUGCUCCAACAACAGCAGCAGUAGAACCAUUGGCAGUUGCCACAUACUUUCUAUGAGGACGUGUCAUAGACUGAAAUAGGGUUUUAUCAUACGUCAUAUGAACUGUUGCACAGGAAUCCAAAAUCCAACCUAUAUUCACCAUUGUAAUAACUCACAAGACACUAAUACACAACAAUCACAACACCACAACAAUUAUAGAAUCACACGCUACAAGGAAAUCCUAGCAGCAAAUCCUUCUUGGCACAGCACAAUACAUAUACGUACACAGCACACAAUCAGGUUUGCUGCAAGGAUGCAGCGACACCAACUGAAGACCUACUGUGAGUUUUGUUCCCCUUGGACAGUAAUAAUACAGCGCAAAUGGGCAUCAGUCUUGGCUUGCUGCAAGAUGCGGCAGAAACCAGACUUACCGGAUAUUUUUGUAUUUUUUUCCUGGUUUCACGGUAGCAGCGGUACGGUAGGGUUACGGUUGGCUUUGAGGCCAAAUUGAAUUUUAAGGCAUAAUUUUCAUGUAUUGCAUAAUUGAGAAUAUAAUACAUAUAAUCCUGGUUCUCCAAGGUAAACCAAGAAAGGACAUAAGAAAUAUCCUUCCUAAUAAAGGACUCUAAUAUUUACACAAUAUUUACAUUUCUAUUCUAAAACCAUCUCAUGCAACAUUAUUCGAACCUUAUAAUCAGAUCUGUAAGCACAUAACUCAUGAAAAACUAAAUCACGAUACCAACUUAACCACUCACCAGAUGAAGACAUUACUGCUUGAGUUAAAGAGUUCUUCUGCAACUCUGUAAGGCUCAAUCAAUAGGGCUUGAGUAUCUAAAAGCUUGUGUAUUUGUGAGAGUGCAGGACCCUAGCUUUAUACCAUAAAUGAUGGAGUUCAAUAAGGACACUUCCCAUUAUGUAAUCCUUAUCAAACUAUCUUUAUCACCAUUAAAACUCUAAUAAACAUAUCAGAUUAUAAAGUCCUAGUUCUAUCAAGAUUGCUUGAGGCUAUUAUCCUUAUUACAAUAUAUGAUAAGCCAUUCCACAUAGCUAAUGUUAGUCUCUUUUUAUUCCAAAACACUUUUACACGAUAAACAAGUGUUUGCUCUCUAUAGAACUUACAUUCUCCCACUAGAGCUAAUACUUGUUUAUCAUGAACACUUACAGAAGUGGAAUAAUACUUGAUUGGCCAAGAAACUAAUAUCAGCUAAACUUGAUUACAAGUUCCUGUCAUUAAUAAGCAUUCAUAAAGAACCAAGGGGCAUCACACUCCCACUCAAGAAGCACUAUCCCCAUAGUCACUGUAAUGAAGCUAUAUAACAUGUGAAACUCCAACACGAUAUGUAAUUUAAUGUAAGACAUGUCUGCAUGUAUAUUCUAGUAACACAUCUUACACUUGGUCCUCCACAAGAUUGAUAAAACAAUCAAUUCCAAAUACUUCAUAGUGAAGUCUUCAGGUUGUUUAUCCCUUAUAACAAUUCUGAGAAUCAUUAUCCAUCCUGCAUUAUAAAAAUACAUGCACUUUAAUAACUAACUGUUGAACUUGAUAGGAAAACUUUAACAACCAUUCAACAUUUCACUUUAUCAGCUAAGUGUUCUUUAUUAUUAAUAUUCAAAACAUUGUGAACUAGAUAACUCACAGAAGAAGAAAUUAAUACUUGGCUCCCACUAAUUCACUGCAUCAAAAUCAUCCAACACUCACAUACACAUCACAUGCUUUUUGAACACUACAUUGGGCACUGCUUUGAUCAUAGGAUCUGCAAUCAUCGAACAUGUCUCCAAAUAAAAGGUUCUAACUAACCCAACCACAACUUUCUCUCUCGCAAUAAGGUACUUAAUGUCCAAGUUCCUGGUUGCAGCUGAUCUCUUGUUGUUCCUCCAGAAGAAUAUUGCAACAUUAUUGUCACAACAGAUUUGAAUUGGUCUUGCAAUUGAAUCAACAACUUUAAGUCCCAUUUUGAAAUUCUUUAACCAAACAGCCUUGUUAACAGUCUCACAACAAGAUGAAUAUUCAGCUAGCAUUGUAGAAUCAGCCACUGUGUCUUGCUUCACACUUUUCCAAGAAACAGCUUCACAUGCCAUCAAGAAAACAUAACCUGAUGUAGAUUUAAGAUCAUCCAAACAUCUAGUAAAAUCGGAGUCACUGUACCCUUUUAACACCAAUUCAUUUGUCCUUCUAAAAACCAACAUAUGCGCAUUAGUUCUUUGAAGAUAUCACAAUACUCUCUUUGCUGCAUUUUGGUGAGCUUCACCAGCAUUUGAUUGGAACCUCCUAAGCACACUGACUAUGAAUGCAAGAUCAGGUCUUGUACAAACCUGAGCAUACUGAUAGGAAUUUUACCACCUACAAAAGUAGGGAUAAAAACACUAAAAAUACUUGCAAGAGUACAAGGUUGUUGUAGUAUAAACGGCUCAAGCAAGGUCGUUUUCCACUGGGAUUGUUAAAAAUAAAUUAUGCAAAACCCUAAAACUUAGUUAAUUAUCUGAAACAAAGAUUGGAAGAGAUUGAUUUUCUAUUUAAAAAUAAUAAAAACGAAUUUUAAUAAAAAUAAUGUAGGAAAAAUACUAAUGACCAAUUAGAAAAGAAACGAGUCAAAGACAAAAGGUUUUAACAAACAAAUUUGGAAAAGCACUAGGAUUCCACCAUCCCCUUAACGUUUAUAUGUAGAUUUACCAAUUACCUAUGAAUUAUUCAUGCUGUUAGAAUAUAUUAGUAUUUAGUUUAUUUGAAUGUUUGGUUUUCUGGGCUUAGCCCGUUAGAAUUAGGGUUUUGAUUUCUUACCUUUUAGGAUUAUGGUUAGUUUAUUAUAAAUAGCAUGCUUGUUAUUCAUUUGAGACUAAGUUAUUCACAAUGUAGCUUGUUAGAGUUUUUGUAGCCGUUUCGGCAUUCUCUUUGAUUUAAUAAUAUUUCUAUUAGUUUAUGGUUUUGUUUGUUUCACACUCAAUAUUCAACUUAGUAUCAGAGUAGGUUUUAUUCUUCGGGAUUGAAUCUGUUCUUGGUAGCUAGUUUGUUUCCUAGUUUGCUUGGUAUUAGUUUUGAUAAGGUUUUGUUUUUAGAAAAAGGUUUACGUCUAUUUGCCCAGCCUGCUAGUACCAUCGAUGCUGCUCAACCCGCACCAACCUGUCCAUUAUCAGAUCACCACCACGCCACCACUGGAACCACCCGCUGCAGAUCCACUGCAUCUGCACCAGUUCGACUCGCCCUGCACGCCUGCACAAACCCGACCAAAUCCCCUACAGUCUCCCACCGCCGCACCAAACCACGAUCGAGUCGCUGCUCACUGCACUCUCUCGACCUCACUGAUCUUCUGCACCAUCCCGUCGUCCGCUGUGCUUGUUUUGCAGGUAUGAAGAAGACCAGACCUCCUGAAAGGGAGUAAGAAAAAAAGAAUAAAAAAAGAAAAAAAAAAGGAAAGUAGAAGCAAAGGAAGUGAAGGAAAAAAAUAUGUAUAUUGGUUAUUUGCUGUUGCUUUAGGCCCACUCGGGCAAAGACAAAAAAUGUUUAAGUUUGUUUUUAGGUCCACACGAGUUGUUGGCCUAUUUGGAAUUGUUUUGUGACCGUUAUUCGAGUGCUUGAAUUGUAACUACUUGAGUGAUAGUAUUUGUAUUUGUUUGUUCGUUGCUACAAUUGAGAUAUGAAAAUCUCGUCCGUUUAGUGACGGGUUCUUUCCAUACUCUCAACUCUAGUCAGUCAGAACCAGAAUCAAUUACCAGCAAGAAGCAAGAAGUAAAGUAAUCAAGAAUCAGUUCGCAAGUUCGCCCGUUAGUCAAGUUCAGUCAAGUCCAGUUUGCAUGCCUGCUAGUCCGCCUAACGGAGUCAGUCCUCAUCUGCUUGUUUGCAAACCCAUGUCGUAUACCGCUAUGAGUUUGACGGGGGGGUGUUAGAAUAUAUUAGUAUUUAGUUUAUUUGAAUGUUUGGUUUUCUGGGCUUAGCCCGUUAGAAUUAGGGUUUUGAUUUCUUACCUUUUAGGAUUAUGGUUAGUUUAUUAUAAAUAGCAUGCUUGUUAUUCAUUUGAGAAUAAGUUAUUCACAAUGUAGCUUGUUAGAGUUUUUGUAGCCGUUUCGGCAUUCUCUUUGAUUUAAUAAUAUUUCUAUUAGUUUAUGGUUUUGUUUGUUUCACACUCAAUAUUCAACAACUUUGAAGGUUAGGUUUUCCUCAUGCAUAUUCUACUUGUGGCAUUCAAGCUAGAACAUAUAUCAAACAUGCAAUCCAUUUGUGGCAUUCAGAUAAAAUAUAAACAUGCAUGACUCAUUACACUUUAUGAAAACCCUUUGAAAAACCAUGCAACCCCCACGACGUGACAUUCGCCCUAGGUGAAUUUACAACUAUCAAUCACAAGAAGCAAUACUCAAUUCCCCGGUGGCAUUCCGAUCGAAUUGCAUCCAAUUACUUAUCUAAACAUCCUAAUGGUCGCGAAUCAUUAAGACACAAAGACAGUUUAAAGCACAGUGAUUAAUAAUUCAAAAUAUGCAUGCAUAAUAUCAUAAGCAAUUAAAUAAAAAACUACAUAUUCAUGCUAAGGAUCAAGGUUUCACCUUAGCAAAAGAAAAUUAGCUACGCAUACUCAUAAUUAAAAUCAACAUAAUUAUAUUAAACUAUGAAAAGAAUGAAAACACCUUAAAGUAUAAUUCUUGAAAUCUCUAAGCUUUUUCCAAAGUCUUCUCCCAAAAGUUGAAUACGUUCCCCCUGAAACCCUAGGUCUGCCAAAAGGCUUAUUUAUACUACUCUCAAUAAAAUCCUCCUAGUAAAAGGUCUUAGAAUAAAACUAGGAAACCUAAUAACUUAGAAUAAAAUAGGAAACAUAAUCCUAAAUUAACUUGGUAAAUUCGCCUAAAAAUAUGCACAGCCACGUUUUGUACCCAAAUCAGCUCCAAAACUGGCCCAAACUAGCUGGACGUAAGGCUUGGACUAUUCUGAACACUCCUCCAGAAGGCCACGAACCCAUCUGAGGUCGUCUUGGGCUCCAAAAACGCAUUUUAAGCCCAGAAACGUUAAUUUCCAGCAACGCGCACUACUUCUUCAUUAAAUUGCCAGAAAAUAACCGCUUGGUAAAAAUUGCUGAAAUUUUGACACGAACAAGCUAAGGAACACACGAACAUCCUCCAAUUUGAAUCACUCCAAAAUUCAUCUGUUUGGUCAUGUUUUUCUCGAGAGGAAGUCAAAUGUCCUAUAUUGAAAAUAUAAAACAAAGUAUCAAAAUUCUUCCAAAAUAAUUACCAAAUUAAUAUUAAGAAUAGGGUAAAAUAUAUAAUAUAAUAUUGACUCAUCAAAAUACCCCCAAACUUAGCGUUUUGCUUGUCCUCAAGCAAAACAAAACUCAAACACAAAAAUAAAAACUGACAAACCAAAGACUUAACUAAAACUAAAUGACAACAAUUUUCACCUACAAAGUUGCAAUCCAUAAAAAACGUUAAAAAUUAGAACAUCUUUUCAAAAGUUCCAGCUAAUCCCACUACAGAGUCUAAGCCAUUUAGAAUCAAUUACAAACGAAUUCACAAACUUCCUUUGGUGUAAAGUGAAUCAACAUAGUUAAGGAGACUCGACUAAAACUCUUACCUCUUGUCCUUUUAUUCAACACUUCACACAACUUGACUUGAGACAUAACUAUCACUUUUUUUUUUCCUUUCUUCUUUUCGAUUUUUUUUUUCAGUAACAGUAGUGAUCGUGCAAUGUCAGUUCACUUAAGCUUUCUAUCCAACCCAUGUAGCGAGCUUUAGGUCAAUGACUCCCAAACCACGAGGGCUUUAGGGCACUAGGUGUAGAACACCCCUAAGGACUUAUUAACCCGAGCUGAAAAGGCUACAAAACCAACUAACCACCCUGCCCCAUGCCAAAACUCUACCGUUUGACGAGAGAAUCACUGCUGAUUAGGCAGAACUGGCCCGGUUACUAAGCAAAGCCUCGGGUGGAACAAUUAUUACUUUAUUCAUAACAAUAACUACUUAGAACAAAAAUUAAAAUCAAACUUAGACUUAAAGUAAGUGUUUCAAUCUCACUCCCCAUAAACCAUGUUGAUGUGAAUGUGCAAAGGUUUAAAGUAUAACCCAUGAAUUAGUGUCUAAUCAACGAUAAAUAGAAAAGACUCUACUAUGAGAUUAAUCUUCACCAUGUCCAUUUGUUCUAACAUUUAAAAGAAUCUAUGGAUAUUAAGUUAAAAAAAAUGAAAAUUGUUAACUCGACUCAAAAAUUAAAAUCUAAAAUCUCUAUUUCCCACCCCCAAACUUAUUUCACACUUUGUCCUCAAGGUGUGGAAAACAAAAAGGAGAGAAAAUAGACCGAAGAAAACCUAACUAAACGAAACCUGACUAAAUGAAAUAAAGAAAAUAAGAAAACAAAAAGAAAAGAAAAAUAAAAAUAAAAACAGAAAUAAAUACAAGAAAGAAGAGCACCUGGAUUUUAAAAAAUGUGGACUUGGUACUGCGCAUGGGCCCUGGUGGGCAGAACCCAACCCCCUAACUUGUCCAUUAAGGGUGCGUUUGUUGCGCCGGACUGUCUCGGACUGGACUAGCUGCCGGGACUAAGCUGGACUGGCUUAGACUGGACUAAGCUGGACUAACUUAGUGAAGCGUUUGGUGCAGUCUCGGACUAAGAAGCAGGAUAAGAAAAACAGUACUGUUCACCAGAUUUGUGUUUGCUUAGACUAGGACUACAAAUUUUUGCCAUUGUGUAAUAGAGUAAAGCUACAAAUCUCAUGAUAUGGGUUAAUUGGAGCAUAUUUUUACCAUGUAUAUUAUGAAUCUUAAAAAAAAUUGACAAUUGUUUUGUUUCUAUUACCUGCUAAUAGAAUUGGGUUUAAUUUGCAAAUGUAGCUUGAUUUAAACUCUAUCACCCAACAGAAGAAAAAUAAUAGUGGCCAAUACAUGCAACUUCAACAAAUACAAGUACAUAAGAUCUCCAUAAUUUAGAAAAUCCUAGUUAACAUUAGUUAACAUUAGCCAAAAUAGAUCUCCAUAAUUUACAAAAUGGCUAGUUAACAUAAGCCAAAAUACUAGUGCAAAGCUAAGUUAUAAGUCAUAACAUAAGAUUGUAUGAUUAAUAAAAUACAUCCAUGUUAACGUUAAUAAAAUACAUCCAUGUUAACAUUAGCCAAAAUCCUCAUCCGCUUGCGUUGUCGCUUAAAAGCCUUUGGACGAACACUUUCUUGAGUUCCGGUUUGAUUGCCCUGAACACUCCCACAUUUUUUGGUUUAUCCAAAAUAAGAGACAAUGCAUCAAUUUGAUCCAUAGGAGAGAGACCCAUUGCAUCAAGUUCAUUAGCUAUGUUAGUAUGAUCUGCAGUACCUUGAACUAAAGCUUCAGUUACCAUUUGCAUCCUCUUCCCACUUUCAACAUAAAAACCUUUUAGUCCACUGAUAAUUGCCUCGGUUCCAUCACUUGAACUUCCCACAGCUCUUUUCCUCUUUCUUUGGCUAUUUUCAGAUGGUGUGCUUUGUUGGCUUUGUUGGUUCAUUGAAGAAACAAAAUUAUCACCUCCAAUAUCACUUUCACCAACAUGAUCAUGACUUUGUUCCUCCACCAUUUGAGCAGGGGUUUCGGCUACAUUACCCGUAGCCCGAUCUUUUCCAAAUAUAUAAGCAAAUCUAUCAAACAGUGGAAAAGGUUUGCUUCUCCAUCCAUCGGCUUCUUUAUUUCUCUAAGAUUAUAUCAACAUAGCAAAACAAACUAAAAUUUAGCAUGCGUAACAAAUUAUAGCAGCAAGAAUAUAUAACUAAUGCAUAAAUAAAAUAGGAUAUGAACCUGCACAUAAGUUUGCCAUGCGUCAUCACUGUCAACUUCAACGCACUUUUUGACAUAAUUCCAUGCAAAUCCACUUGUGUUUAUCAUGUCAACGACCAUACUAUAUGUUUUUUUUCCAUUUCUUCAACUUGGACUCAAUAUGUGGAUUUGCCUUUAUAUUUGAAUGAGGACAUAAAACAUUGACAGCUUUUGCUAUUUCAACCAAAGUACCUUGUUUUUGAAAGCACCGGUGUCACACCGUUGCUUCCGAGCAACAAAAUCCUCAAGAACUCCGAGUAAUACUUCUUCCUCAAAUGCUUCCCAUUUACGCCUUCUUCCUUUUGGCUCUUGAGUAGCAUUCAAAAAAAUUUUCGUUAUCCAUACCUAAACAAAAAAUAUUUUAAUGAAGGAAAAUACCAUACAAAUAAUCAAUUUGCAUAAUAUCCAAUCAACUUGCAUAAUAUCCAAUCAACUUGCAUAAUAUCCAAUUAAUUUGCAUACCAUCCAAUCAUUGUGCUAAUAUCUAACAAAUGCAGAUGAUAAAAAGGAAUACUAAAAUAAAAUGUUAUCAUUAACACAUAUAGCUAGUUCGGUUGCUGGUUCCUAAUUGCUCUCCACUCAUUAUACAUUUCCUGAGCCAUAUCAUUCCUCAUUGCAGUCCACUGGUCCGAUGUUUGAACACUACCAACAUAUUCACCUUCUUCUAUAUUUUGUCCAUCUUCUAUUAUUGGCAAAUUCUCCAUUGGAUCUACAGACAUCUCUUGCCUAAUAAGAUUGUGUAGUAGGCAACAAGCGGUAAUUAUUCAACCUUGUGUCCUUAUCUGAUAGAAAGAUGGACUCCUUAGUAUCGACCACCUUCCUUUUAGCAAGCCAAAACAGCGUUCAAUUACAUUCCUUGCCUUAGAAUGCUUCAUGUUAAAAUAUUCUUCCUUAUUAGAAGGUGUUCGUCCCUCCCAUUCAGAUAAAUGAUAAGGUAUUCCUCUAUAGGGUGCAAGGAAUCCUUCACCAUUUGUAUAACCACCAUCUACAAGGUAAUAACAACCUAAUGAAAAAAAAAAACAGACCUUAUUAGUGUUUUGUAGUUGACAAACAGAACUAAACCUAACUUACAAAGUUGAGACUAAGUAAUAGUCUUACCCGCUGGUACCUUAAAACCAUUAGGCCUACUAAUUGCAUCAUGUAGCACUUUAGAGUCUGAUGCGGAACCCUCCCACCCCGGAAACACAUAUAUGAACUGCAUAUCUCCUGAACACACACCUAACACAUUAGUUGCGACUCAACCCUUUCUUGUUCGGUAUCUUGGUUUGUCAAUUUCAGGUACAUGCACAUCAAUGUGUGUUCCAUCCAAUGCUCCCAAGCAAUUCUUAAAAAUAAAAAAUAAAAAAGUUUUUGUUAAUUUAUACAAAGGGAAUGAAGAGUUAAAGCUUAGGGAAAAUGACAAAAAUUUCUCAUCAUACCUUAAAACAUCGCCACCUAGGAUCUGUAGAAUCAAUAGGCACAGGCUGGGGGACUUUUAGUAGGAUACCUUGUAAUCGCAAAAUUCCUUGCAAUACGCUAUUGAAAUACCGACUUAUAGUCUCUCCCGACCUAUAAAAUCUACCGCCAACACUACGAUUCUUAGUAUAAUGUGCUAAUAUUUGUAAAGUCAUACACACCUGUUCCUCUACAGACACCAAACCAUCAGUUUUUACCCUCCCAUCUUGACGAAGUAAGUCGCAUAAUAUGCCAAAAGUCCUUCUAUCCAUUCUCAAUUCGUUGACACAUUCAGUAUCAGUAUUCCCUAUUAUACCAUUCAGAUAACACAAACUAAUCUCUCGUCUAAUAAGUGAACGGUUAGUCAAUGUGGGUUGUUCAACAUGUCUCUGUUUGCCACGUAGUAUCAUCACCACAAGAAUCGUACAAAUACAAAUUGUCUCCAAAUAAGACAUCUCUAACAAUAAGAUCAAUAAAAGCUUCCUUCGAUCCAUAUCUAUCCAAACAAAAAAAAAAACAAUAGUAUGAGGAUUGCUAUCAUUCCUAGGCAUUGCAUGUGAAGAGGGAAAUUAAAGGACACCUGUAAUGCAGUAGCCUUGGCCUUAGCCUUGGCCUUAGCCUUCUGUUUAUGCUCCUCUUCUCUGCAACAAACAACCACACAAUUCAGCAUCAACCCCACACCAUACAAAACAUUCACAUUGUAAUAUCAUGGUUAUAAACCAAGUACAUACACACACACUCAUGGACAAAUGUGCAAAAUACACAUACAUACUCACACUCACACUCACACUAACACACACACACAGACAUACACACACACUGCACACACACUGCACACUGCAUACAUACUGCAUACAUACACACACACACACUGCACACACACACACACUGCAUACAUACAUACACACACACUGCACACACACACUGCAUACACACACACACUGCACACACACUCACACUCACACUUACACUCACACUCACACACACUCACACUCACACUUACACUCACACUAACACACUGCACAGUCACACACACACACACACGGGGACAGAGUGCAACACACUCUUACCCUCACACACACACUCUGUUUUUAUACUCACACACACACACACGUACACACACACACACACACUGUAUACACACACACUGCACACACACUGCACACUGCAUACAUACUGCAUACAUACACACACACACACACUGCACACACACACACAUUGCAUACAUACAUACACACACACUGCAUACACACACUGCAUACAUACUCAUACUCAUACACACACUGCACACACUGCAUACAUACAUACUCAUACUUAUACACACACUGCACACACACACACUGCAUACAUACACUACACACACACACACUGCAUACAUACACUACACACACACACACACACACACACACUGCAUACAUACCGCAUACAUACACACACACACACUGCAUACACACUCACACACACACUGCAUACAUACUCAUACUCAUACACACACUACACACACUGCAUACAUACAUACUCAUACUCAUACACACACUGCACACACACACACACUGCAUACAUACACUACACACACACACACUGCAUACAUACUCAUACACACACUGCACACACACACACACUGCAUACAUACCGCAUACAUACACACACACACACACUGCAUACACACUCACACACACACUGCAUACACACACACACUGCACACACACUGCACACUGCAUACAUACACACACUGCAUACAUACUGCAUACAUACACAUACACACACACUGCACAUACACACACACACUGCAUACACACACACACUGCACACACACAGUGCAUACACACACACACUGCAUAUACAUACACACUGCAAACACAGUACAUACAUACACACACUAUAUACACUACACACACUACAUACACUACACACACACACUGCAUACAUACACACUGCAAACACAGUACAUACAUACGCACACUACAUACAUUACACACACACACUGCAUACACUACACACACACCUUGCAAGUACACACACACUGCAUACACCCUGCAUACAUACACACUGCAAACACACUACACACACACACUGCAUACAUACACACUGCAAACACUACACAUAUACACACAUUACAUACACUACACACACACUACAUACACGACACACACACACUGCAUACAUACACACUGCAAACACAAUACAUACAUACACACACUACAUACACUACACACACACACACUACAUACACUACACACACACACUGCAUACACUACACACACACCCUGCAAGUACACACACACACUGCAUACACCCUGCAUACAUACACACUGCAAACACACUACACACACACACUGCAUACAUACACACUGCAAACACUACACAUAUACACACACUACAUACACUACACACACACUACAUACACUACACACACACACAUUGCAUACAUACACACUGCAAACACAGUACAUACAUACACACACUACAUACACUACACACACACACUGCAUACACUACACACACACCCUGCAAGUACACACACACUGCAUACACCCCGCAUACAUACACACUGCAAACACACUACACACACAUUAUGCAUACAUACACACUGCAAACACUACACAUAUACACACACACUACAUACACUACACACACACUACAUACACUACACACACACACUGCAUACAUACACACUGCAAACACAGUACAUACAUACACACACUACAUACACUACACACACACACUACAUACACUACACACACACCCUUCAAGUACACACACACUGCAUACACCCUGCAUACAUACACACUGCAAACACACUACACACACACACUGCAUACAUACACACUGCAAACACUACACAUAUACACACACUACAUACACUACACACACACACUGCAUACAUACACACUGCAAACACAGUACAUACAUACACACACUACAUACACUACACACACACACUACACUACAUACACUACACACACACACUGCAUACACUACACACACACCCUGCAAGUACACACACACUGCAUACACCCUGCAUACAUACACACUGCAAACACAGUACAUACAUACACACACUACAUACACUACACACACACAGAGACACACACACGCAGACACACACACACAAGCACAAAGUACUCCCAUUGUUGAAACCCCAAUUUUUAAAAAUCGAAAACAACAUGUGGGUAGGACUUCCAAGUUUUACAACAUUGACAUCCUAAAUUCUGAAGUUCCAUCUCAUCUUAUGAAAAGCCCAAAUCCUAAUUUCAAUUUCACCUAAAUAUCAAAACCCUAAUUUAUUCAAGUGCGGAUCUCUAUGAUUCAAAAAUUAUCAAACCCAAAACAAUCAAAUCACAUAAAACUCAGUAAAAUUACCUUCUACAACACAAAUACAUGCAAUUAAUAGAAGAAUCGAAGUUUACCGUACAACUCAGAUGAGGCGAGCAGAUGCAGAGACAGGAAGGCGCUCAGAGGAGGGUGAGGAGGAAGAAGAUGAGAGAGCACGGCAACGAAAAUGAGAGGGAACGUAGAGAUGAGGACGAGGGAAGACAGGAGGAAGGGACGAAGGGACGAAGGGAAGGCAGAAACUCUCUCGGUUUGCUCUGGCUUACAAAUCCGCUGGGUUUUGGGGUUGCUUGCGAAGACCACCUAAGGAGGUCUUUAGUCCGACCGAGUCCGGCUUAAGCUCAUUAAAGCUAAUCUGGUUGCACACCAAACACAGGACUAUAGUCAUGUCCAGUCCAAGCCUUACUAAUCUUGUCAAACAAACGUGCCCUAAGAACAUUGGAUUCUCCUUUGCCGAUGUACACUUCACACGUGCACUAGUGUGUGGCAACAUUGGAUGCCCCCUUUCCUUAUCUGCAUUGAACCUGGAACCAAGAGCCAAACGGCUCUUUUCUCUCCUUGAGCCGAGAGCCAACAGCUUUCUCUCAGUAUUAUUUGAAAGUGACCCCCUCGCUCUUUAUUUCAAAACCACCCUGGCUUUAUCUCUCUAAAGAAAAUACUCUGCAUUUAUCUACAAAUGAACCCUAGCCACUCCUCCAUUCUCAUUUCAACAUCAAUGUGGUCCUGUGCUCUCUCAAAAGAGGAAAGCCAUCCCCAUAACCCUCUCAACCGCACACAACCUAACCUUCAUCCUUGAGCCUCUUCGCCAUUUCCUCCAUUGCUCUCUGUUCGUUCAAGGGCGUCAUCAUCCUCUCGGGAACAACACCCCAAAAGUCACAAUUCCAUGGCUAAACAUUAUGGAUGCCACCAUUCUGUAGGUAAAACACAAGCACCCCCAAACUUCGGUUCUGAUUUAAUUUCUAAGUUCCAUUGCUGUCAUUUGUGAUUGGGACCAAAAGACGAAAGAAGCUAACAUUCUUGCAUGUAUAGAGUUAAAAUGUGUGUAAACUGCUCACAGAUUCGUCGCCUGAAAAGUAGAAACAGAAACAAAUCGUGUCAAACACACAGAUCCGAGCAUAAGGAAGGUAAAAACUCAUGUCGUGAAAUGUUCAACUCUGAAUGGCUUAGAAUGGUUCAAUGUCACGGUAGAGCUCAAAUGUCCAUUUCUCUGUGCAUGCAGGUGGCUUGGAACGAGUGGAAAUCCGAGACGAAGAAUGCUCAAGUUGCAGAUCGAGCGAGUCAAAAAGGAAAGAAUACCCGUCAAGCUCUUGUAACUACAACAAGUAUAAAACUCAUCCCUCAGUUUGAUUGUACUCAGCAUGAAUGGCUUCAACGCAUUUUUCCUGCGAUUUCUGGGAUCUUUCUAAAACUGAUAACUAGGUCUUGUAAUUGUGAAGAAAAAUAAAUAAAACUGGGAUCUAAGAUGUUAAUGAAGAAGAUGGAUCUUAAACACAACUGGUCCCAAUAAUAAAAGUGAAUGAUAACCUAUAUUACCCUGAACAUAUAUAUGGACCAUUUGGACUUGAACCGUACUGAGGACAGAGAAAGAACUACCGCCAAACUUGAAUAAUGGCAUCAGUUACCACUAGAACGCAUAUGCCUGAUUGUUUUGUUGCAGGAAAAUACCCUAGAUCGGCAAAAGCAGCUUGAGGAGAAAACUCUACACUGAAGAAUAGCUGCGUGGCAGCUUGGCAAAACAGAAAGGUAUACUUCCCAUCCAUGUUAUGUGAAUCACAGAUGCGGUGGAUGUUGAUGUUCUUGUUUGUCUUGUUUGCUGUCUGCAAAAACCCAAGUGAUGAAAUCAGAGAUAGGAUGUAGAAAAUACUAUCGGUAUACUAAAAUAAAACAAGUAAAAGAAUUUUUUUUUUUUUUUUGAUUUUUUUUAUGAAAUGACAACCUAAGAAAUUAAAUGCAGCUUGAAAUUGAAAGUAAAGAAAUAAAAAUGAAAGAAAGUAGAGAAAAACUUACAGAAUUGGGUUGCCUCCCAAGAAGCGCUUUAUUUAAUGUCUAUAGCUAGACGGAACAGAAGCCCAGUGAUUAAGUUGUUGGAUCAUUCAGAGUCAUUGACUUGCAUGCGAUAUCAUAAGGUGAUUCCAAAUAUGGUUUCAACCGAUGAUCGUUAACUUUGAAUGUGUUACCACUUUGCUCAUUAGUAAUGUCAACAUCUCCAUGAGGAUAGAUCUUUGAAACUCGAUAUGGCCCAUUCUAGCGAGACUUGAGUUUUCCUGGGAAUAACCUUAGCAUGGAAUUAAAUAAUAACACUUUCUGCCCUAGCAGAAACUUUUUUCUCAGAAUUUGACUGUCAUGAAAUGCUUUGGUUUUUGUCUUUGUAUAUGCGUGCAUUGUCAUAAGCGUCAUUACGAAUUUCCUCAAGCUCAUUUAGCUGCAGCUUACGUUUUUCCCCUGCUGAAUCGUAAGAAAAAUUCAACUCUUUUAUAGCCCAAUAUGCCUUAUGCUCUAGCUCCAUAGGUAAAUGACAAGCCUUGCCAUACACAAGCCGAAACGGGGACAUCCCAAUCGGUGUUUUAAAAAAUGUUUUGUAGGCCCAAAGUGCAUCAUUUAAUUUCAAACUCCAGUCUUUGUGAGUGGAGCCAAUUGUUUUCUCCAAAAUACGCUUGAUUUCCCUGUUUGAAACUUCAACCUGCUCUGAUGUUUGUGGAUGAUAAGGAGUGGCAACACGAUGCGUUAUCCCAUAUUUUGCAAGCAACACAGCAAACUGUUUAUUAAUAAAAUGCUUUCCUCCAUCACUGAGUAUAACUCACGAGAUUCCAAACCGUAGAAAAAUAACACCUUGGAGGAAUUUCAGAACCACUGAUCCUUGAUUGGUUGGUGUUGCAAUAGCCUCGACCCACUUAGAAACAUACUCAACAGCCACUAAAAUAUAUUGAUUGCCAUGUGAUGAUGGAAAUGGUCCCAUAAAAUCAAUGCCCCAAACAUCAAAUAAUUCAACAACCAGUAUUCCUUGCUAUGGCAUUUCAUUCCGCUUGGACUGAUUGCCUACUCGUUGACACUUAUCACAUGCCUUGCACUAAUUGUUUGCAUCUUUGAAAAUUGAUGGCCAAAACAAUCCACUUUGCAAUAUUUUUUCUGCUGUCCGCUUCGGCCCAAAAUGUCCACCACAUGCAUAGUGAUGGGCAAACUUCAACACACUUUCCUGCUCACUUUCAGGAAUACAGCGCCUUAUAAUCUGAUCUGCACAAUAUUUGUAUAAAUAUGGCUCAUCCCAAAAAUAAUGUUUAACAUCUGCUAAGAACUUCUUUUUCUGCUGAAAUGAAAAAUCAGGAAGUAACACUCCUUUUGCCAAAUAAUUCACAAAAUCAGCAAACCAGGGGGCACUAUUGAGGAUAGCAUAAAGUUGUUCAUCUGGAAAACUUUCAUUCAAUGGAAGUGAAUCUGCUUCUGCAGUAGUUGGAAGAAUUAAUCUGGAUAAAUGGUUAGCCACCACAUUUUCACUACCCUUUUUAUCUUUAAUCUCCAAAUCAAAUUCUUGAAGCAAAAGAACCCAACGAAUUAGCCUAGGCUUAGCAUCUUUUUUAGACAACAAAUAUUUAAGGGCAGCAUGAUCAGUAUAAACAAUAACCUUAGCUCCCACCAAAUAGGAUCGAAACUUCUCUAAAGCAAACACAACUGCCAACAAUUCCUUUUCUGUGCUUGCAUAAUUAAGCUGUGCAUCAUUGAGAGUAUGACUUGCAUAAUAAAUGACAUGGGGAACCUUGUCUUUACGCUGUCCUAAAACUGCCCCAAUGGCAUAAUCUGAAGCAUCACACAUCAACUCAAAUGGUAAGCUCCAAUCUGGGGCUACAAUAAUAGGGGCCGAAGUUAGAAGUGUUUUCAACUUGUUGAAUGCCUCUAAACAAUCUACAUCAAAAUUAAAAUGGCAUCCUUAGCCAAUAAACUACACAAAGGACGACUAAUCUUGGAGAAAUCCUUGAUGAAUCGUCGAUAAAAACCUGCAUGCCCAAGAAAGGAUCUCACGCUCUUAACCGUAGUGGGAGGUCGCAGUUUGGCAAUAACGUCAAUCUUAGCCUUAUCAACUUCAAUGCCCUUGCUGGAAACUAAGUGGCCUAGAACAAUACCUUGCUUAACCAUGAAGUGGCACUUUUCCCAAUUUAACACCAAAUUUGUCUCUUGACAACGUUGUAGGACCAAAGAUAAAUUCUGCAAGCAUUGGUCAAACGAAUCCCUAAAUACUGAGAAAUCAUCCAUAAACACUUCCAUAAUCUGUUCAACUAAACCAGAGAAAAUACUCAUCAUACAACGUUGAAAAGUAGUUGGUGCUUUACAUAACCCAAACGACAUUUGUCUAUAAGCAAAUGUUCCAAAAGGACAAGUAAAAGUUGUUUUCUCCUGAUCUUCUGGUGCAAUUGGAAUCUGAUUGUACCCGGAAUAGCCAUCUAAGAAACAUUAAAAUGCCCGACCCGCUAAUCUCUCCACCAUUUGAUCAGUAAAAGGUAAAGGAAAAUGAUCUUUUUUGGUAGCCGAAUUAGGCUUCCUAUAAUCAACACACAUGCGCCAGCCAGUGGUUAAGCGCGUAGGAACUAGCUCAUUGUUAUCAUUCUUGACUACUGUAAUUCUAGUACGCUUAGGCACAUCCUGUGUAGGACUCACCCAUUGGCUGUCUGAAAUUGGGUAAAUCAUACCUGCGUCAAGAAGUUUCAUUACUUCUGUUCAAACCACUUCCUUCAUGAUUGGGUUAAGGCGCAUCAACUGUGGGUUUUAUGCCUUCUUCCAUCAAAAUUCUGUGCAUACAAAUAGCUGGGCUGAUUCCCUUAAUAUCUGCAAUAGUCCACCCUAAUGUAUUCUGAUAUUUACGCAACACUCUAAGCAAUUUUUCCUCAACAGAAUGUGUUAAAUCUACUGCAAUUAUUACUAGCAGUGUUUGGGCAGCCCCUAAAUAUGCAUAUUUCAAGUGUUCGGGCAAAGGUUUGACCUCCAAUUUUGGUGCUGUAAUUUGGAUGGUUUUAAUGGCUGUUUUGGUUCCCCCAAACUUUCAUAAACAUGUCUCCAUUUAGGCAAAAAUUUAGGCACACUGUCUAGAGCUUGAACAACUUCUAGGAUGUCUUCAUCAUGUGUUUCUGCAUCAAAAUUCCCAUAUAAAACCUGCUGCAAUGGAUCUUUUAUUGAAUGAGUCACAUAAUUUGCAUCAACACACCCAUCCAAAACAUCAACACGCAUACAAUCAAGCUUUUCUGCUAGUUGUUUGGUUGCUUCAAAUAAAUUAAAAACCACUGACUGAUCUUGAACCCUUAGUGUUAAAGUUCUCGAUUCCACAUCAAUUAACGUUCUUGCUGUCGCCAUAAAUGGUCUGCCCAAAAUUAUUGGCGUUUGUAAAUCUUCAUCCAUGUCCAAAACAACAAAAUCUGCUGGCAAAUAGAGAUUGUCAACUUUGAUGAUCAAAUCUUCAAUGAUGCCCCUUGGAUAUGCAACUGACCGAUCAGCUAAUUGUAGGAUAACUGAAGUAGGAUUUAUCUCUCCUUGACCUAGCCGCUGAAAAACAUAAUAGGGCAUUAAAUUAAUACUAGCACCUAAAUCAACUAAAUCACGUUUAAAAUCAGAAUUUCCAAUAGUGCAAGAAAUAGUGAAACUCCCUGGAUCUUUCUUUUUCGGGGGCAGUUUGUGCAGUAAAACUGCACUGCAUUGUUCAGUGAGAAUCACUUUUUCGAAGUCCAUGAGCUUUUUCUUGUGUGUGCAUACAUCCUUAAAAAAUUUGGCAUAAGAUGGAAUCUUCUUGAUAGCAUCCAACAAUGGUAGAUUAAUUUGAACUUUGGCUAAUGUUUGCAUGAAAUCUCUUAGUUGCUGAUCUUUGAGCUUUGGUUGUAACCUUUCGGGAUAGGGAAUAGGAAGAUCAUAAACACGCUCCGGUUUCUGUACAGGGGCAGAUUCUGGGCUGUUCAAAAUCUGUUCAGAAACAGAUUCUACAUCUUUUUCUGCAGUUGCACAAACUGGGUUGUUAAUUUCUGUAACUUUGUCCUUGUUGUCAAUUUGUUCUUUGUCACGAUUGUUGUAACUUUUUCCACUGCAUAGAAUUCUCACUGCAUUGCAAUCUGUUGUACCCCUUGGAUUAGGCACUGUUUGACUAGGAAACUUUCCUUUUUCCCUUUUCUGUAAUAUUACCUGCUAGCUGCCCAAAUUGCCUCUCCAAAUUAGUUAUGGAAGCUUGCAUAUUCUGCAUGUUUUGAUUCAUUCUUUGCUGUAUCUUUUGCAGGUUCUGGUUGCUUUACUCAAUACUGAUGCGAAUGGCGUCUGCCAGUUUGUCAAUUGCAAUUUCCCAAGAAGCUUUGGCUAGUGCAGCAGGUUGCUGGAUUGGUGGUAGGAAUGGUGGUUUAACUUGCUGCUCACCACCCCAUUUUAAAUUUAGGUGAUCUCUCCAACCCGGAUUAUAAAAAUUUGAAUAAACAUCAUUUCUUUGCCUUGGAUAAUUGUUGAAUGCAUUAACUUGUUCUGCAACAAAAUCUGGAUAUGCAUCUCUCUGUGGACAGCCCAUAAAAUCAUGUGUGGGUUGGCUACAAAUUGCACAAGCUGUUGCAGGUUGCUGAAUAGUAACUUGCUGAACUGGAGCUGCCAUUUCUGCAAGAUCAUGUCAAAUUUGCAUCAAAAUUUUCUAUCUUUCUCUCAAUCUUUUCAAUUUGAGCAUAUACAUGUGGAGACCCCAUGGACAUUUCAAAAACGCCCCUAUUUUGUGUUUCAUCCCCUGCCCAUUAUUGAGAUUCAGAUGCCAUGUUGUCAAAUAAUUGAUAGGCUUCCUGUGCAUUUUUAGUUGAAUAUGAACCUCCUGAUGAAGCAUGAACAUGAUUUUUAGUGUUUGAAUUUAAUCCUCUGAAAAAUAUGCCCAUUCGUGUGUCUCCAUCAAUGCCUGCGUGGGGACACUUUCUUAAUAACUCCUCAAAACGCUCUCAUGCCUCGUGAAACUCUUCAUUAGGCUUUUGGGCAAAUGAUAAAAUUUGAGUUCUCAUAUCAAGAGUUUUAGAGGCUGGAUAAUAUUUGUUAAGAAAUUUAUUGCUCAUAUGUGCCCAAGAAGUGAUACUGGCAUAUGGUAGUGUAAGCAACCAUGUUCUUGCCUUGUUCUUCAAUGAAUAAGGAAACAAACGAAGUUUGAUUGAUUCUGCAGUAAACCCCUUCACUAAAAUAUUUCUGCACCCCAUUAAAAACUCUGUGAUAUGCAUAUUAGGAUCCUCAUGAGCUAAUCCAUGAAAAGUAGGCAAAAUCUCCAACAUGUUAUGUCUAAUUUCGAACGCGUUGCCUUCCUCGUCGACAUAUACAAUGCAACUUGGUAACUCAUUAGCACGGGCUGCUAAUGUAUCCCUCAAUGGACGCCCAGCAGCUGGUAUGGCGAAUGCCAUGGUAUCUUCGCUGUCCAAAAACCUAGAAAACAGAUUUUUCAAAAAAGUGCCCUCCAACGAGGGUUCCCACGCUAAAAUCUGCUCCCUGCGCCUGCCUCGUAAAAUUCGUUGCGGCUCUGGGUUGAAUUCUACUAACUGCUAUCUUUGAGAUCUGGUGCAGACCACGAACUAGAUCUGCCCAGGUUGCGACCUGCGUAAAAAAAAUGAAAAUUAACCUUUUUUUUAUUUUUUAUUUUUUUAAUAUAAUUAUUUACAGCAAUAAUUAACAAAGAAUUAUGAUUAACACAAAUUGUUAAAACAAUCCCCGCCGACGGCGCCAAUUUCUUGAUAGGAAUUUUACCACCUACAAAAGUAGGGAUAAAAACACUAAAAAUACUUGCAAGAGUACAAGGUUGUUGUAGUAUAAACGGCUCAAGUAAGGUCGUUUUCCGCUGGGAUUGUUAAAAAUAAAUUAUGCAAAACGCUAAAACUUAGUUAAUUAUCUGAAAUAAAGAUUGGAAGAGAUUGAUUUUGAAUUUAAAAAUAAUAAAAACGAAUUUUAAUAAAAAUAAUGUAGGAAAAAUACUAAUGACCAAUUAGAAAAGAAACGAGUCAAAGACAAAAGGUUUUAACAAACAUAUUUGGAAAAGCACUAGGGUUCCACCAUCCCCUUAACGUUCCUAUGUAGAUUUACCAAUUACCUAUGAAUCAUUCAUGCAACUUUGAAGGUUAGGUUUUCCUCAUGCAUAUUCUACUUGUGGCAUUCAAGCUAGAAUAUAUAUUAAACAUGCAAUCCAUCUGUGGCAUUCAGAUAAAAUAUAAACAUGCAUAACUCAUUACGCUUUAUGAAAACCCUUUGAAAACCAUGCAACCCCCACGACGUGACAUUCGCCCUAGGUGAAUUUACAACUAUCAAUCACAAGAAGCAAUACUCAAUUCCCCGGUGGCAUUCCGAUAGAAUUGCAUCCAAUUACUUAUCUAAACAUCCUAAUGGUCGCGAAUCAUUAAGACACAAAGACAGUUUAAAGCACAGUGAUUAAUAAUUCAAAAUAUGCAUGCAUAAUAUCAUAAGCAAUUAAAUAAAAAACUACAUAUUCAUGCUAAGGAUCAAGGUUUCACCCUAGCAAAAGAAAAUUAGCUACGCAUACUCAUAAUUAAAAUCAACAUAAUUAUAUUAAACUAUGAAAAGAAUGAAAACACCUUAAAGUAUAAUUCUUGAAAUCUCUAAGCUUUUUCCAAAGUCUUCUCCCAAAAGUUGAAUAUGUUCCCCCUGAAACCCUAGGUCUGCCAAAAGGCUUAUUUAUACUACUCUCAAUAAAAUCCUCCUAGUAAAAGGUCUUAGAAUAAAACUAGGAAACCUAAUAACUUAGAAUAAAAUAGGAAACAUAAUCCUAAAUUAACUUGGUAAAUUCGCCUAAAAAUAUGCACAGCCACGUUUUGGACCCAAAUCAGCUCCAAAACUGACCCAAACUAGCUGGACAUAAGGCUUGGACUAUUCUGAACACUUCUCCAGAAGGCCACGAACCCAUCUGAGGUCGUCUUGGGCUCCAAAAAUGCAUUUUAAGCCCAGAAACGUUAAUUUCCAGCAACGCGCACUGCUUCUUCAUUAAAUCGCCAGAAAAUAACCGCUUGGUAGAAAUUGCUGAAAUUUUGACAUGAACAAGCUAAGGAACACACGAAUAUCCUCCAAUUUGAAUUACUCAAACAUUCGUCUGUUUGGGCAUGUUUUUCUCCAGAGGAAGUCAAAUGUCCUAUAUUGAAAAUAUAAAACAAAGUAUCAAAAUUCUUCUAAAAUAAUUACCAAAUUAAUAUUAAGAAUAGGGUAAAAUAUAUAAUAUAAUAUUGACUCAUCACCUACAUUAGGCUUCCUACCAAGGAAGCAUAUGGCUUAUCUUCCAUGAUCUUUCUUUCCAAAUCAUUUUUUUAGCGCACUGCAACUUUCUCAACUUUUCUCCCUUUGAAAUUGGCACUUCAGUAGUUGAUCAGAUCAUAUUUAUAUAUAUUUUUACUUCAAAUUCACUCGUCUUUUCUUAGUUAGUUCCUUAUAUUUUUGAGCUAUUUACGUUAUUUUUGUGUUUAUAGGAUUUGUUAUGCAAAGAAAAUAAAAAUAGAACAAGUGAAAUUUUAUGUAAUAAAUUCGUCAAAACUGUCUGUGUAGAUCAGCUUUUAAAUUAAAUUAAAAAGAAAAUAUAAUAAUGAUAAGUCAUGAUGAUGUUUGAAACAUCAUCAUGAUGGUUUUGUUUUGUUUUGUAGAAGAAAAGAAAGGAACGGACGGAAAAAGAAUCCAAGGGAGAGGAGAGAACGUGCAGAGAAAUAAGGUGGAAGAAAAUAAAGAAUAGGAAGCUGCCUCUUGCAGCAAGGCAAAGAGUAGUAGGCGUGAAUAGAGGGAGAGGAGAGCACGUGAAAGGGGAUGGAAAGGGCUGCCUUUGCAGCUGGCCAGAGAAAAAAGAAAAAAAAGAAAAAAGAGGAGUCCACGCGGAGGGAAUAAAAGAGACCAGCGGAAAAGGAGAGGGGAUAUUGGGGAAGGACGUGAGAAGAAAGGGAAGGCAGCGAGGCUGCCAGAAAAGAAAGAAAAAAAAAAUAUAAAAAAAUAAAGGAAGGGCAGCGUGAGAGACGGACAGAAGCACAGAGGCGUGAGAGAGAGGAGCAGAAGGCUGAGGCGCGCAAGUGGGGAGAGGGAGAAAAAGACAAAGCAGAAAACUAGCAGCAAGCAGAAAAAGGGGAGAAGGCAGCGAGGCUGCCAGAGAAAAAAAAGAAAAAAAUAUAGAAAGAAAGGAGAGGUCAGAAGCACGGACUGGGAGGAGGACAGAGACAACGGCAGAGUGCAGGGAGACAGCGGGCAGAGCAGGAGAGAGAGGUCAGAGCGCAGUCCACGGAACGCAGGGCAGAGAGCAAAGCUUCUUCUUUUUCGGUUAAAUCUUUCCAAACUUAUAUUUUAUUUCUAUUUUAAUAAUGUGUAACUAAGUUUAUUUUGGCUAGAGGUUAAUUCAAAGCCAUGAUUAUAUUUGUAAUAUGAAUUGAUUACCUUCAGUUGUGAUUUCUGAGUUGUGAUUUAAUUUGCUUAACUGCUUGAUUGAUAACUUAUUUUUGUAUGUCGAUUAAGGAUGCAUACUUAAUUUACAUGCAUGAAUUUGAUGCUAGAAUAUAAGUGAAUUUCACCUAAUCGUUAUGAACUUAUAUUCACAAGUAGUAAAGGUUGCUAGUCACAAUCACGUUAAGUAAAUUCUUGGCAAGAGUAUCAUGCUUUUCAUAGUUACGAAUGCCUCGUCAAUGCUUAUAGUUUUCACCAAGUUUAAUGAUCUUUGAUUGUAUCUCUAUUGUGCUUUUCACGUAGGGGACUUUUGAAGAAUGUUUUGAAUUGUUGUAUGCGUUUUCCCGUCCAAUUCAAUAACUUAAGGAAAACUUGAAGAUUAAAAAAGUGCUAUUCACGGUUAAUUUGAAGUGUUGAAAUUCACAACUUAUUGAAAGAACAACUGAAAAUCAAUUUAGGUUGCAUAUGUGUCAUGUGUGGAGAAAAACCCUCUAGCUAAUCCAUCACCUAUCCUUUCACCUUAAUUUCAUGUUUUUGUCAAUUCUGUAAUUUAUUUAAGUUUAAUUAUUUAAGUUUAAUUUACUUCUCGUCAAAACCAAACCCCCCAUUAUUAAAUUAUAUUAUUUAGUUAGUUUUCAUUGUUGUUAGUCUUUUAAUUCAAUUUCCGUCCAUUUCAGUUCCUAGUGUCUAAUUUGAUUGUUUUCAUUAUUUUGAGUUAUCCUAAGUGUGUUUCGAGUUAUUAGAGUUUUUAGCCUAGUUUUGUGUCCUUGAGUCUUAUUUAAUAUUUUUAAAUUAAUUUAGAAUAGAUUAGCAAUCCCUCCUAAUCCCCGGCCUAGAACGAUACCCUACUUACAUACUUUACUACAAUUGUCAAAAAGAGGGUUUAAUUUGUGUGUUAACUUAUUUUACGCAUCAAAUUUUGGCGCCGCUGCCGGGGAUUAGCAAAGUUGCUAAUCCCUUGUCUUGAGUCUUGUUAAAUUGUUUAGUUUUUUUUAUUUUUUUUAUUUUUAUAUUUAUAUUUGAUUUUAUUUAUUUUUUUUUAUUUUAUUUAUUUUAUUUUUUAUAAUUACCCUGUUUUGUUUACUUAUGAUAUUUGAUUUAGUUUUAUUUCUUUGAUAUCAGGUACUAAAAGAAGUAAGACAUGGCAAUUGCUAAUCUUCAAGCUCAAAUGGCAAUUCUUACUUCUCAAUUGUCACAGUACAUCGAAAGGACCACAAUACAAAGCACCCCUACAUUCGAUGUGUCCUAUACGCAAGGAUAUCAAGCAGAUCAACAUCCACAAAGGAGUUGGGAGAGUUAUCAUGAUCAUAAUCAAUCAAUGAACAACUUGUUUUCCAACACGUAUAAUUCAGAUUGGAGGGAUCAUUCAAACACUACGUGGUGGGAACCUCAACCAGUUCAACACGAAGGAUAUUGGCAGCCAUAUAAUGAGUUCUAUUCAAGCCCUGCUCAGCCACCACAACCUCAUACACAAUAUACCCAACCAAACUCAGGUUCGUCAAUAAAUUAUGAACAAAUUCUUAAUGAAUUAAAUUCUUUGGCGCAGGGCUCACAAAAUCAAGCCAAGGAGGCUCAACAAGGAGAAUAUUGGCAGCCAUAUGAGGAGUUCUAUACAACGCCUAUGCAGCCACCACAACCUGCCCCGCAACAAUUCCAAUCAAAUUCAGGUUCGUCAAUAGAUUGUGCUCAAAUUCUUGAUGUACUAACUUCUUUGACGCAGGAAUCACAAAAUCAAGCCCAAGUGAUGAGCGAAUUGAAGAAUCAAAUGGGAGAGAUCGCAGAAUUCAUGGGGCAAAUGCAAGAACAAAGUGAAGUAACUGACUCAACUGUUGAAAUUAUUGAAGCUAUCAACUUGGAAGGUGGCAUAGAGGUUGGAGAUGAACCCAAGAUGUCCAAACCAAGCCAAAACAUGGAUGAACAAUUACUGCUCGAAGAAGAGGAGGACAACAAGGCCACGGCAAAGGAAGAACCACCAUUGCUGCAGCCUACCUUAGCCCCAACACCCUUGCCGCAGCCCCAUAUGCCCUCUAUGCAGUCCACUACAACCAAGGUAAGCCCAAAUUCAAUUCGUCCUGACCCCGUUCCACUAAAUGUCUUUAUUCCUUGCAGGAUCAUGCAAUCCAAGGAAGAAGAGGGUGAGAAAGGCAUCUUUGAAACCUUUCCAAAGAAUCAAGAGAAAGAAGUGGAUGGGGUAUGUCUAGAAUGCAUCAAAGAGGAUGUGCUUGAGACAACCAUUCCUAAAGAAGUUGAAUUUUAUGACAUGGGACAAGUCACAACCAUCACAUUCAAUCUGGCCAAGUCCAAUAUCCCUGAAACUUUCAAAAAUGUGGUGUUUGUCAUUGAGUUCUUGUCGGACAAAGCAAGUAAGCCAUCUUCUCCAAUUUCGAUUUUAGUAUAUACUAACUUAUUGAUUUUGAUGAUUCAGGCACCUACACUAGAAUUUAAACCAUUGCCGGAUCACGUCAAGUAUCACCGUCCAUUCAAGGAUCAAUUCCAUGCUAUGGGCCCUAUCCAAGUUUAGAAGGAAGUAUCGUCCGGCUGCAUGACGUUAAAGAAAGCGCUUCUUGGGAGGCAACCCAUGUAUUCAAAAAAAGGAAGAUCUAUGAAUCGCUCUACAAUCAGUUUUGCGUUUCUAAAAACCUUCACUUUUCUGCAUUUUUAUUUUGCCAUGAUUGUCAUUUUUUUAUUUUUUAUUUUUUAUUUUUGUUUAUUUAAUUAUUUUUGGGUGUGGGUUUAUUUUUGAAACAUUGAUAGAUAUGCAAGAUAUUCUUACAUUCUUUUUCAAAAAAAAAAAAAAAAAAAAAAAAAAAAAAACACUUAAACUUAAAAAUAUUUUACAAUGAUGUGUGAACUAAUAGCAUUCAUUGGUCAGGUGGUGCUUCAGUAGUCGGCGGAGCUUCAGCAGUCGGCGGGGCCACGGAAGGAGGAGGUAUCUGAGGUUGAUCAGUUGGAGCUUCACUACGCGGUGUCGCCCCAGAAGACGAAGGCAGAUGCGGUUGGAACAAACCCACAAACCUUCGGUGAUCAAGUAAAAUCUGACCAUCAUUUUCCUGCAGCUGGUCAAUUUUCCUCUUCAUGUUUGUGGCAUAACUGUGUGCAAGCUUAUGCAAUUGUUUAUUUUCAUGCUUGAGUCCUCUAAUCUCCUCUUUGAGACUCUGUAUUUCAGCCACCAACGAUUCAACGUGACGGGUUCGGGCAAAUAGGCGUUGGGCCAUGUUGGACACGGAACCGACACACUGCACGCGAAGAGCCAGAGACUCCUUAACCGCCAAUUCAUCAGACCGUCUAGCGAGCAGUCUGUUAUCUCUUGGGGUGACAAGGUUCCGGGCCACCACCGCAGCAGUCAUGUCAUUUUUCAUCACCGAAUCUCCAACGGUAAGAGGACCGGUAGGGGAUAUGAAAGAUGGGCGCCAUAUGUUGUCUGGUGAAUGUGGAGCUGCCUCUUCACCAAUGUUCAAGUCAAAACGACGAUCGGAAGGGCCAGACAUUUUCUGAAGGUGGUGAAGAAAGAAGAGAGUCGGACUGAUUAAGAUUUUGGAAGUUUACAGGAGGGAGUGUUUAUAGGAUGGAGCUCAAGUGUGUUGUGGAACAAAAUUAACGCCUCUAUAAAAAGAAGAAAUCAAAGAGGCGCUCCUCAGAGAAGCGUCUUCUCGCAAAUCGAAGAGUCGGGGCUCCUUUCUCAAAAGCCGGAUUCUUUUCUCAAAAGAGGCGUUGCAUUUCUCAAAAGCUGGGCUUGCUCAGAAACCACGAGCCGAACCCCGGAUUUCAAAAGAUCAAUUUGUCCAGACAUGUCGUCACUUGUCACACGCAAAUUGCUUUGCGAAAAUCUCGGGCAGUUUGUCGAAGCACCAAUUCAGAAAUCGAAGAGGGAAAUUCAACAGUCAAAGACACGCUAGCUUUCUCAAAAGCUGGGCUUCAACCCACGGGCAAAUCUUCUUUUCCAGAUUUAUCCGCACGUGUCACAUGCUACCUCUACAAUCGACGAUGCUCAGAGCUCGAAGCGCCGAUUCCAGAUACCAAUGAGGAAUUUGCUUUGCGGAAAUCACGAAUUGCUGGUCGAAAAUUUAUGGUGAAGUGGGAAAGCACGUUGCACUGUUCUUUUACUCGUGUCGGUAACCCUGGGAUAAUUGAACAGUACCUCUACCAGCUAUUAAGAAAAGUCCUAUAAGUAUUUACCUUCGCCUUCCACAGCAAAGGCACACCCUCUCAGCACUUCUUCAUCUCCGAGAAUGCAUUCCCAAAGAACCCUCUCGAGUCACACUGUAUUCCUCAUUCCCUGGGAUACCCCUGCAAACAACCCAUCCAGAGCAAAAGUAUUUCAUAUCAUAAUGGUUGAAAGCAAGAGUAUCUCAUAUCAUGCAUUCUCCAUGUCCUUUUCCUUGUCUUUGUUCUAACCUGCAGGACAUGGAGAAAUUGCUCUCGAGUACUCGUCUUCCACUGCUGAUGUACUUCCAAAGAAGCUGCCACAUCUACCUGAAGAACAGAUAAGGCAAGCGAAAAUGAUACCAACAGCAUGUGGAGACAACGUAUAGAAGAAACAAGCAGAGAAGAAUGCAGCUUGCACAAUCAUCCCAGCGGAAGGAGUCCGAGCUGAGGAACUAGAGAAGCUGCCACAUCUGCUUGGAGAACAAAUAAGGAACUGCAACAUCACCAAAGAGCAAAGCUUCGCCGUACAAUAUCAUCAAAUCAUCACUUGCAAGUAAAAAGCUAAGUGUCACCCCGUUCAAGAGGAAAGCUGUGGAAAGUCAACAAACACGACCAAUGAUUACUUAUUAGUUCUUUUCAUUGUCUUUUAUCGUGAUUUUCAAUUUUUCGUUUGCAAUUUUUUUAUUUAUUUUUUAUUAUUAUUUUAUUUUCUUGCGUUACUUAACUGAAUUAUUUCUUUUCUUUGCAGGAACUUUUGGU